AUCUCACAUCUGAACCUGGACUAUAAAAAAUUGAACUCCAUGACCAAAUGCAUGAAUAUUAAAAAACGAAAAUGGUUCAGAAAAUUUAAAACCAAACAUUGGAGAAACACAUCGUGUGCACAAACCUACUUAAACAGCUGCUGAUACUUAGGGACUGGGACUGCUACCUAAUAGGGGAAUUAAUAGACGUUAGAUGGGUAUUACCCCAACAGUUUACUCAAAGGAUACAGUAAGGCAACUUGGAAGUAGACUGUCUGGGUUGUUAAUAAGGUCUCUUCAUAAGAAAUUUGCAUUGCAAAUGCUUUAUCACAAUCUACAGCUGGAAGUGCCAAUAAAUCGGUGCUUCUUAACAUAAAAUUCCCAUGAAACGAUGUAAAGCGGAUUCCUAAGAGAACAAACACAAAUAGUGAGAAGAGAAGCAUCGACAUGUAAGUAAAGAAGGAGACGAACAAUCCUUGAGAACCAAUAAAAAGAAAAGAUCACCUUUUCCGCAUCUUAUACGCAUUACAGCUUCCCAGGCAGUUUCUCUAGUCAGGUCCCUUGCUAACUCAUGUCUCAACUUUUCCCCAUGAAUGGAAGAUUGGAAGCCUGGAUAAUAAUACACCUGGCCUCCAGUAUAUUUUGCCAAAGUCCCUAAGUACAAGAGAGAAACAAAGAUAAAUAAAUAAAUUGCCAGUGCACCAUAACCGAUGUUUGCAUGUCAUGUAAAAAAGAUAAAUGGGUACAGGGAAGAUUGUCAUUAGAUCCAUCAGACCUAGAUCAAUAAUCAGUAAAUUUGUAACUAAAGAAAGGAAGAAGGAAAUGUCAAGCAUUAAUUUGUAACAAACAUGAGUGACAGUAAACAUAAAAUGUAGACCUAAAAUUCCAGUUUUCUCAUAAAGCCAACCAAAAUAAAAAAUUUGAAUGCACCAGGAUUAUUGUGUAAAAGUUAUUUUCUUAAUAAACUAAUAACCAUUAGGCCUCAUUGUUCACAGGAGAAACAAGCAAACAUAGAAUGUACCUAGGAAGCACUGACAUUGACACGUGACACAGAGACAUGGCGACACGACGCUAUACCAAUUUUAAAAAAAAUAGGACACAACACGUCGGGGACACAUUAUUUUUUUAAUUAAAAAAGUUAAAUAUAAGUUGUGCAUAUAAACAUAUUGUAAAAUAUUCCAUUUGAAAGCAUCAAAAUAACAAGUUAAACACCAUAGAACUCAUGAAUUUAUGUGUGAAGGUUUGGACGUGAAUGUUGGGGUGUGACCGUUUGGAUGUGGAGGGUUGGGCGUGGAGAAUGAGGGAUAUUGUGGCUGUAUGAGAUCUGUUCUUGGGAAAAGAAAAGGACAGGAUAAAUAAUAAGCCUAAAAUGUGAGGUUGAUGGUCUGUCUUUGGGCUAGGCAUUUGGGCUUUUAAAAUGUUAGUUUUAGUAAAUUUUUUCUUCCCAAACCUGCAGGUUCCGUGUCCCAGCCGUGUCCUAGAAGUGUGUCAGCCAUGUCUGGGCAUGUCCAAAAUUAAAAAAUAAUAAAAUAAUUGACACACCAGCUGGUGUGUCGGACAGAGCGUGUCAGGUGUGUCAAAUGUUGGACACAUGUCAGACACAUGUCCGACACCGAAACUUCGCUAUCUUAUAAGUGUCGGUGCUUCUUAGAAAUGUACCAUGAGUUAUUCAGAUCCCCCCAAAUGAAAACAAGUAGCCACAGUAAUCUUCAAGGCUAGACCAGAGAAGCUCACAAAAAUAUAUUUUUUAGAUGUUCAUAGUAUGUUGUGGUGAUUAGAAAAAGUCACCAACAAGCAUAGCAGGCCCCAAGAAAAUAUUUUUUAGAUGUUCAUAGUCAGUCGUCAAAUGUUCUUUUGGCAAGAAAAAAAAAAAAGAUUUGACAGGACAGCCCCAAGAAAAUUCUAAAGAAUCAAAUUCAAUCAUGUGACAACUGACCACAAAUACAUUCUCCAGAGACAAUAUGAAGGGACUCCUUGUCCCUGCCUCAUUAGGCUGUCCUUCAUGAUCUUUCCGAAUGAAAGGUUUCCGUUUCUUACCAAACGUAAAUAAAUAAGAGAUGAGAAGCAUACCCAAGGAAGCAAUAUCUGUAUACUUGUCACUAAAUGCAUAGACAUUGACCCCAAUUUGGAACUUGGUAAAUUCAGCAGCCAUUUGUUUGUAGAAUGGAUCCUCGGGCAGUCUUAGUAAAUGUUCUUUGUCUGUUCCGUAAACACGAAGAUCAUCCCCACGCAACUUCAAGCGGCCAACACCAAGAGAUGGCAGUGUGUUUUGAAAAAUUAACAACUUCCCCCCCAGUUGGCUCUGCAAAGAGAGUGGAGUGAAACCAAUAGUCAUAUAAAACUCUCUAAAAUAGAUCAGUUUGAUUAUAACCGAACUUACAAUAAUAUCCACGUGUUUGUAUUUUAAUUCAAUGACAAGGAAAUAACAAUUUUAUAUAAUAGAACAAGACAAACAAGUACGACAAUGGCGACUAACUUAAAAGGUGUAGAUAAUGUACCAUAACCAUAAAUGCUGCUUUAAGGGCUGGGCCGAAGGCAGAUUCAACAUUCACAUUGUCCUGAAACAUGGAUGGCAAGCUAUCUAGGAAUGAUUCCACCACAGUUCUUGAUUCAGAUAAGUUGACAAGGAGAUCAUCCGGCAAAGGUACAAAUAUGUCAUCCAGAUCGGAAACCACCAUCAUUUGUGGUUGAGUCAAAGUCGACUGUGAAAGAAACAGGACUUUUAGCAUGAAGUAUCAAAAUUGGGGUAAACAUAUAAUAGCAACCAAUAUUUUCUACCUUCAUAUUAUAAAAAUGUAUUGUGCUGUCAAAAGUCGCAAAACCUAUUUGUGUUCUAGUAGAACCAGGCAGCUCAUCCAAGCAUGACCUAAUUGUUUGUGCCACAACCUGCAAAAGGAAAUACAAAUUUGACACGCUGAAAAUUAGGCUCUUAUUGUUUGGCAACCCCUCAAUUAAGUAUAACUUAUUUGAAACACUUUCUUUACAGACAUCUUGGUCGAAUUUUAGGGAAAAAACUAGAAGAAAAAAAAAAAACCAAUUAUCAUGGUCUAUGGAGAUAAAUGAAAAUACACCCACGAGGAGCAACCCACAGAAACAAAGUAACAAGAAAUUUCUCCAAUGAUGAGAAUAAAAAAUAACAAAAAUUAAAAAAUGGUGAGAGGAAGGGUAUGCGUAAAGGGGCAAUAAUGUUCAGAUAAAUUUGUAGGACUGGUUGGGUAGUAGCCUAGUAGGAGUAUAUAAGAAAGGGAGUUCGAGAAAAAACAUUAGUUAUCAUUGUAUUGGUGAGUUUUUAGUUUCUAUUUCCUCGGAUGAUUUGAAAAUGCCCAAAUACUUUCUGGACGAUCCUCAACAGGUUUUAAAUAAUUUUUUAUUAGUAUUCCUGAUAACAACCUUUCAUCUUCUAGGGUUAGGAAAGAUAAAAAGAUUAUUUUUGGUCUAAAGUCUUAAUCAAUCUUUCUAUGGUUGAUAGGGCAUGGAUAAAACUAUAUGAUAUGGACUUUGAUAGAAAAUGGAGGUUAAUUGGCAACUUCCAUUAGGAAGUUGGAAAAUUGGUCUUACAAAGUACAUUUCAUCCAAAGUUUAUAGUUGGUUAUGGGGCUUGGCAUUCGCUAAAAUACUUACCUUCCUUACCAUUUCGCUACAAAACUUACCUACCCCACCAUGAAAAGGAGUUAUGUUUAGAAAAUGAAAAUCCAACUUUCGCUACCAUGCAUGUGGUUAUAUUAUCGAUAACAGUUCACAGGGGUGAACAAGGAGUGAAUGUUCAGUUGCAUUCUAGUUCUAGUUCUCUUGGUUCGGUGGAGGUAAGUAAUGGAAAGCCCACACUUCUCUACCUUCUAAAGCAGUUUAUUCUCUUUUUACCACUCAGAGAAAGGAGCAACCAUCUGCAAAUAAACAUUAUCUAUUUAAAUGCUCAUGAGGAAUCUUGUGCACAUCUCUUAUAGCAGAUUCUCAGUCGAUAGAAAAACCACACCACACCCAUUGCCUCCUUGUAUGAACUUCAGUCAAUCAAUCAUUAAUAUCUUGGGAUCAAAUAUUCCUUUUGUUAAAGGAGUUUCUAGUCGUUCCCCCUUAAGGAUAAUUUCUAAUUGUUGCCCCCAAGGAUAAUCUUUCUAUUUACAAUUCAAAUGGAGAAUCAAUAGUCAGUGUAAGUAAUAAGGAUAUUAUGGACUCUCAAGCACAAUUUGAAUAUGUUAAAAAAGGUGUUGCUAAAUGAAGAGCGCUCUUAAAGUCUUAAUAAAGUAAUAAACAAAUAUUACUGAAGCAAAUGGCAAGGGCCUUGGAGGCGCUAGCCUAGGAUAUCUCUUAAAUCACCGAUUGAUCCAAAUGCUUAAGCUUAUAGGUAAGGGUAAAUUUAAUAUAAUAUCCAACACCCUCCCUCACUUGUGGAAUUGAAAUAUCAAGAAAGACCCAACAAAUUUAAAUUAACAUUAAAUGGAGAGGAAAUAAUGUUGCAAGGGUUUGAACACAAGGCCUUCGAGAACCACCUGCUCUGAUAGCAUCUUAAAUUACCAACUCAACUCAAAAGCUUAAGCCAAUAAAUGAAGGUAAAUUUAUUAUAAUAUCUAACACUCCCCCUCAGUUGUGGGUUUACAAUAUGAGGAAGAGCCAAGAAAGUGAAAAUUUAUAUUAAUUGGAGAGGUAUAUGACAUUGUAGGGCUCUGAUACCAUAUUUGAUAGUAUGUGUUUCCAUCUCAAAACCAAUUGGCAAUGAGAAGAGUAACUCAUAUACCUUAUAAGAAGUGUGAGUCCCCUUGGUUUUUCCAAUGUGGGAUUCUCAACAUCUCAAUAUGCCCCUCAAAAUAGUGCCUCUUUGAGUUCACCAAUCUUGAACUAAAUACAUGUUUGGGCUUAAUGAGCUCUGAUACCAUCUUAACUCACCGAUUGACCCAAAAGCAUCAGCUUAUAGGUGAGGGUAAAUUUAAUACACUGUCCAAUAAUAUCAAUCAAGGACAUGUGCUUUCCAUUGCCCCUUGCAAUAGGCGAGCUCGAGGGCGCCUUGGAAGCAUUGAUUUUAAUUAACCAAAAAUAAAAUGUAAAAAAGAUGAGCAUAGUUUUGAGACCAUGAGUUGCUAGCUAGUAGGUUGUUGGGUUGUUUAUUAGUUACAAACCAGUAAAACUGCCGGUUAAUUUUUGUCAGUUUAGAUUUCAGUUGGUUAUAAUAUUUUUUUUGAAACAAAGACAAACUUCUAUAUCAAUUAUCAGAACUCAAUGUGCAAGAGAAUUAUACAAAGAGCGAAAUAAAGAAGUCUAAACAAGCGAAAGAAGGACAAUGAUCAAAAGAUGCACCGACAUCUCAACUAGGUUGACACCCCCUUAGCACCAAAACGUCACCCAGACAUUUCAGUUGGUUAUAAUAAUGGUAUGAAUACCACUAUUAGGAUGGUGAUGGACAGAUUAUCAUUCAAUUUUCUCACUGAUUUAGUUUUUACCAAAGAAACCUUCCAUAUCAACCUAAAUGCUAUCAUUCAAUUCAUAUCAUUCUUUUAGAUUGGAAGCACAAUUCCCAAAACAGAAUUUUCUUAUGAUUUGGAUUUGGUUGAGCAUUAUUUUAUUUUCAUUUCCUUAGUGAACAAUUUAGCAUCCUUUUCAAAAAAAUCAAUAAAAUAGAAAAUAUACAAAGAAAAUGAGAAGAUAAAGGAAAUAAAACUAAUAAUAGUUGUAAGUUGUAACACUUGUAAUCCAUUGGGGUGAUCUCAUCAUUUUGUAAUUUCAUUUUAUUAAUGAAUGAUUCUUUAAAAAAAUAGUAGUAGUAGAAGCAAUUGUAUAGAAAUGUUUACCUCUAGCAUCCCACUUCUAACUGCAGCUAUAGAAACAUCGAUAAGGAAAAAGUAUAGUGGAGGCAUAGGUGGUCGAACCAUGUACUCGGUUGGAGCAACAAAAUCCACACUACCCUUAGUGAGCUCAGGUCGCUGAUCCAAAUCAAUUCUCUGGCCAGUGGCAUCCAAAUGAGCAAAAUAAUCUCCUGGAACUGAAUAAGGAAGCGAUGUAAUUCAAUAUAAUCCAACAGGGGAAAUAGUAAUAUACAAAAAGAAAUUACUUUUUCUCAGCAAAUAAUACAAAUAGAUAAUAUUUGGCUUCCCAAGAAGACGAAAGAUAAUGAAGUGGAUAUUCUAUUCAAGUUCUACAGUAACACUAAAUUCUUUGUCCAAGAAAAGAAAGGAGAAAAUAAAAAGACAGGUUUAUACUGGCUAAAGUUCAAAAGAACAGACGUAACUUUGAAUCUUAAAAAUAUGUCUUCUAUGCACUAGACUUCCACAUAAGAAAUUGUGACUGCAUUGCAAUAGGUCAUAUCAUUUCUAAUUCUAGUGUCAAGGGCCAAGAAAAUUAUAAUUCUUCAUACCAUCAUUCAGCAAUGAACAAAUGUUGCAGCGCCACUUUCUUCCAGCAUCUGUGAAUGUGGCAUAUGGAUUUAUAUAAGUGCGACACCUCCUACAGCGGAUGACGCCAGUUGAAGCAAAAUUGAUAACUGGCACUUCUUCCUAGAGAAAAAUUAGAGAAAUUUAACAAGGUAACUUUAGCAUGCACAGAAAUCAAAGUAUUACACAGAGACGCUAACCCCACUAGGAGCUUCUGCAAGUGGACAAACAAUUGCUCCAAGAGGUAAAUGCCACCUUGAGACCAGUGACUGAGAACUGGGUAUAGCACUGGUUGUAAAACGUAAAUAUCUUUUAUCGCAGUUCAUGGCGUACACCUCGGAGAACAUUUUAGGCUCUUCAUCACCAUUCAAUGGCCUUGGAAGUGCUUUUGGAUCAAUUCCUGCAUCAAUUGAUCCUGGAAUAGAUCCAAUAGAAAGUGAGUUGAAAUCUUCAGCCAAUCCUUGAAUCGAACCAAGAGGAGGUCCAGUUCCUGGAUGGUGCUUUUGGUCCGUAGACAGUAAACCUUGUGAGGCUGCAGCAGGAGGAGGCGGGACAUAACCUCCUUGGUGACUAAGGAAAGGGGAAGCUGGUGCUGAAGGAGGACCAUACGGCCCUUGGUGACUAACAAAAGGAGGAGGUUGCAUUUGUUGGGAAUGUAAAUCUGCAUUAGGUUGCUUAUGGACAUACCCAGGCAAAGAGGACUGAAAAUUAGGCCUGGCUGAUGGAAAAGAUGGAUCUGACAUAGGCUGUGGAACAUUUGUGGGAGGAGGACCUAAGCUUUGAGGAGGUGAUCCCAUCGGCACUGAAGGAACCUGACUUUGCUGGUGAAAGGAAACUGAAGGGGGUGGUACAUAAGCUCCAGGGGGUUGCCCCAUUGGUGGAAUUCGUGGAGGAGGUGGUUGAGAUGGUGAACUAAACUGUGGAGCUGGGAAACGCUGGAAAGACCCAGCAGUAGCCGGGACGCUUGAUGUUGGUGGAGGUGGAACAGAUGGAUCAGAAAACCUACCUGGUUGCAUAGGUCUAAACCCAGGGACCCCUGAUCCAACUGCAGGACCAGAGGAUGGAGGAAAAGGCAUUGUGUUUGGGGGCAUAACAGGAGCGCCAGGUCUAAAACGAGUGGUGUCUGAUCCAACUACAGGACCAGAGGAUGAAAAGGGUGACGUGGUCUGAGUGGCAGUAAAAGGUGUGCCGGCAGGUCUAGUAGGAAAGUUCGGGUGAGCAGGAUUUUCAGUCCCCAUGGUUUCUAUUGUCGCACUCUCACGCCCUUAGAAUUAAUGGGAUGCUAGCAUGACGCAGACCUGUCCAGCCAACAGUGAAAAAGGAUAAAAAAAAAUCAAAACUAAUUCUCAAAGAAGAGAUGAAUGAAUUGCCAAUCAACGCGCAAAUAAGAACUUCCACAACAUAAAUCUUACUAAACAGCCAGACAUCUCCUAACUCAGCGCCAAAGCAUAUUUAAAUUACAAUAGAAAGAUGAACGGGAUGCAGGGAAAAACAUAAAGAACUCGAAAAUGCAACCCAGAAAAUCCCCUAGAUUCCAUAUACGUAAUUGUUCAAACUGAUUCUUUAGGUAGACAGAGGAAUUUCGGAAACCAGAGUUCAAAGGAGGCAAACAUCGAGUAAGUAUGAUCAAUAACUGAAACUGAAUUCACAAGUCAAUUUGGUACGCAGAUAAUAGCAGUGGGAGAAGCAAGAUUUGAAAGAGAAAGAAGAUGUCGAAUUGAUUCCGGGAAAGUCAAAAAAGAGCAUGAAAUCGAAGCUAGCAUUGCGUGAAAAGAAAGAGAGAUCUGGCACAGGCAAAGAAGUAAAAACAAAAAAUUGUAAUAAAGAAACUGAUUCGGAAGCAAGUGGUACGACAUCAAAGCAAAGCAAAACAAUAAAACAUGGGUAGGGUGGAAUUGAAUUGAAUUGAAUUGAAAUGAAAUGAAUAGGCGAAUCGAGAAAGGGAGAGGGGAAGAGAUUUACCUUGGGUGUAGGAGGGUCUGCAAGCAGAGUGGGAUCGAAGAGCUGGGCGGAUCGGAAGUGAGGAAAGAAGGAAAGCCAGCCAGUAAGAGAGAGAAGAUAGGCGAGGAGAGAGAUGAGUGAUUUUGGAAAUGGAAACCCACCAGCAUGACCAUCCCCUCCCUUCCGAUUCAUUCACUAAAUUAAUUCAAACUCAAUUAUUUCUCUCUACAUUUUUACCCCCACCCAAUUUCACAACAAUUAACGUAAAAUAACUUUAUUCUAAGUUUCAUUAAUCGGUCUAUAGUGUGGUCUAAUCUUGAGUUAUGGAACCAUUGUUUUGGACUCUGAUGUGUGAUGUUAAACUCAUUUCUGUCUUUCUUUUUAUUACAAUUACAAUUUUUGAACAACAUUAAUUAUAUGGAUACGUUGUGGCGAUCAAAAUAUCUACACAUCAGAAAAUCAAAUAAAAAAGGUCAUUAUUCUUGAAUAAGCACCUCGAUUGUAUCUUUAUUAAAUAAGUAAGUUUAUAUUCUACAAACGAUUUUUAUAUAUGUAUAUAUAUAUAUAUACUUGUUGUUUGAACUUUAUAAUUAUUCUAAUAAAUCCUAGACUUGAAAGCCCAUAUCUUAUAAGUUCUUCUAGUGUUAUGCUUAGUAGACUUUUUAUAAAUGUGGAAAUAUAAUAAACUAAUUGAUAUAUUAGAUAUAGAUUAUUUGUCAUUUUAAAAGUUCAAUAACAAAUGACAACCUUUUAAGAUGGAAUUUGCUUUUAAACUGAAUUAAUUUCAAAUACAGUAAAAUAAACCAACAUAUUUACAAAAUAUAACAUAAUUUCAUAAUUUAUUAUUAAACCUCUAUAAAUUUAUUAUAAAUAUUUAUUGAUAUCUAACGUCGAUAUAUUUUAAAAUUUUACUGUCAAAUAUUUUCAACCUUUUUCUUAUUUAAAAUAAUUUUUCACUUUAAACUUUAAACUAAAUUAUAUAAAAUAUUAUUAAACUCUUUCUUUCGUUUUUUAAAAGUUAAAAAAUUUACUAUUUCUGUUACUUUAUAAUUUGUCAUCUAACUUAUGGGAUAAACGUUUGAUCUUUUAUUCAAGUGUGCAAUUCAGUAUUCACCCUAUCAUGACAAAAGAAAAUUUGUCAUCCAUUAAUAUUUUGUCCCUUUGAUUUGUGUGUUACUCCCUCUAACAUUGGUCAACCACAUCUAUAUGAGAUAAGUCGAUGAUUUAAUCGAAUCUUUUAAUGUCUUACUUCAGGUCAUACCAUCUUAUUAAGAAAAUUAGUUGUACAUAUGUCAUGCUUACAUUGUCUUUAUAUACCAACUAUAACAAGAGUUUAGACAACUCAUCAACUAUACUUACAUCCAAGUAUGAUAUUACCCAAAACGUGUUUGAAAGAUUGUUCCUACCCUGUCGAAUUAAGUAGGAUAGUUUAUUGGUUUUAUAUGUUUAUUUAAUUAUUUUAUAGGUUUUGAGUACUUGAGAGAUAGAACGAGGAAUUUUUAACUAUCUGGAGCUAAAACAAUCCAAAAUGGAACUUAACUAUGCUUAGUUGAGAAAGAUGGAGUUGAAAUUUUCAAACUGUGCUCCAAUCGACACUACUAAACAAUAGUUGUCAUUUUCAAGUAAACAGUAUAGCACAAUUGUGUUUCUCCCUUAGAGCGCACGAACACUUUGAUUCCACCUCAUACACUAGAAGACACGCAUAUGUGGUGCUGUGACAACUUUAUAAAUAUAAAGCUUUUACAAAUCUAGGUCAUCUUCUAGACUUCUUCUAAUUCCAACUAUUUUUUCUCGACUUUCCUCUUUUAUUCCCUCAUGUUUUUAGUCUUUUGAUGUAUUCAAACCCGUCCCCAUUAAUUGGUGUGUCAAUUGUGAUCUAAGGUAAUCAUUUAUAGCUUGGAUUGUAGAAUUUCUCUAAUUUGAUACUGUUGUGAGCCUUUGAACCAUACAUUCACAUAUUAGCUUGAUUCAUUUGUGUUUUAGUGGACCGUGCUUGGAAAUUUUCAAAUUGAUAUUUUAUAUGUGAAAUAUAAUCUUAUGCUGAUCACUAAAAGCGAUAGAUUAUACUAACUUACAAAUUGUAUUGUUAUAACCAAUAUCAUAUUAUAUUUAAUUGAUUGAAUACCUGAAUCACGACUUCUAUAGUUAGUUAUACCAUCUAACAUUUGCUAACGUGACAUUAAAAACUACGUUACACAAGUUGAUUGCAAUUGAAAUUUUAGUUGCAACAACUUUACCAUACAUAAAAAAUAAGUUUCAUAAGUGCCAACUUUUUUCAUUAUGCUUUAUUCUUCCUGUCAUUGUCGACAAUUAAGAUACACUUAGCUACAUGUCAAGUUCAAAGGGAUUUUUAUCGUAAUUAGUUUUUAUUUCAAAACAAUCAUCUCUCUAUGAUUAUUUUUCAGUUACUAAAGCUAGCCUUUAUUUGAGAAAACUAUUUGUUUGGUUUUAAAAUAGUUCAUUUUGGAUCUAAUACUUAUAAUUCCUCCAGCUUUUCUACUAUGUCAGACAUACUCCAAUUACACGAAACAGUUUUUUUAGGAAAAACGUAAUUUGAAUCCUUAUAAGAACCUUUCCAUGUUGCAACAAAAGUAAUAAGAAAUAUCAGAGCAUCAAAAAAGUACAAGAACAAGAACAAGCAACUUAAUCUUGUAAACAUAAUCAACAAGAUUUCACAAAGUUUAUGUAGAGAAAUGGUAGUGAGUCUUACAGAGAUGAAACAACAAAUAAUAAUUAGGGUUAUUUUCAAGGAUGAAAAGAUAACAAAAAUAUUUACAAAAUGUAUCGAAAUAUUAUCGAUGGAUGGACGCUAAUAAUCGAAUGCAUGUUUAGUCAAAGUAUAUGAUUAUCAACUAUCAAUUAUUAAUUAAAAAAUGUAUUAUUUUCGUUUAAUUCGUUGACCGUUAAAAAAGAAAAAAAAUUCUCCGACGUCGUAUAGUUCAUCGUGGCGCGCCAUUCUUUCAGUUACCGUGAACAUAUUUCUCAGGAACUUAUUUCUCUUAAUUGAGUCACCUACUCACCUAACCAGUUGUUGAAGCUCUUCAUCCACACCCUUAUUUUUCAUACCUCUCUCUCUCUAUUUAAUCUUCCAAUCUAUUUUCCCUUAUUUCUCACAUUCGUUGAAUUUCUUUUCUCAAUUGGAAGAACAUCAGGAAGUUUGUAAUGGCUAGGAAGAAGAUCAGGGAGUAUGACUCUAAGAGGCUUCUCAAGGAGCAUCUCAAACGCCUCGCUAAUAUCGACCUCCAGAUCUGCUCUGCUCAGGUUAAUAAUUCAUAAUGGAUAUUCCUAUGUGUCCUUAUGUAAUGCCCAUCUGAUUUGUCUUCGGUCUUCAUCGCUGUGUAUCGGGAAUUUCGAUUGAUUGUUAUCUGGGUUCAAUUUCCUUGGUCUUUUUUUAUGGUGGGUUGGUGCCAAUUUGUCCAAUUUGCGCAAUCGUGUGUUGAUUGUUAUGUGGGUGUGAUUUAGUAGUUAGAACUUCGAUUGCCUUGCCGGUCUCUUGAUCGAGUUUUCUUUCUAGUUUGGGUCGGUUUUAUGUCGUUGGAUGGGUGGAAUCGUAUUUCUAAAUGGGGUUUUGUGUAUGUAGAGAACUUUGUUUUCCAUAUGGGGUUAUCUUCCAAAAAGCAAUCCAUUGGUUUAGGAAGCAUUUUCCCGUUCAGAAAUGAAAUUUGAAAUUUAGAUGUUUAAAACGAAGUUUGGAAUUUAUCUUGUUCAUUUGAUUUUUUGUUACAUACUUCAUUUGAAUAUGUACCAAGGAGAACCAGAUUUGAUAUUCCUUUUAUCUUGUUUUUUGUUGUUGUUGUUGUUGUUUUUUUUUUUUUUUUAUUAUUUUAUUAAUUUUUAUUUUUUAUUAAUGAAGGAUUGUUUCUCUCUCAAUUAAUCUUGUAGCGAUACGUUUUUCCUUCUUCCCAUGCUAAGAGCAAUACUCAUGCGUGAUUUUUUUGGGUUAAUAUUACCAAUCUUCUGUGUUUGGAAGGCAUAGAAACAACAUAUUUCCCAUUUCCUUUUACUAAGCUCUGUUGUCCAUUUCUGGAAUAAAUGUCCUUUUGUUUGACUUUGUAAAUCAAUCAACCAAGCGUUUGACUUAUCAAUCAUUUUGUUUCACUUGCUGUCAGUUUUUUUGGACUAAUUGUCUAGUAUAUUUAUAUAUACCUAAUGAAAUUUGCUGGGGCAUAGGUAAAUCAAUCAACCGACUUCGCUGAGCUGACAAACAACGAACCAUGGCUGUCAUCUACCAGGUUAGUAGUGAAACCAGACAUGUUAUUUGGGAAACGUGGAAAGAGUGGCUUGGUAGCUUUGAAUUUGGAUCUAGCUCAAGUUGCUGAGUUUGUGAAGCAACGCCUUGGAGUGCAGGUGAUUAUUCUUUCACACCUUCAUGAUUCUUGAAUUCUAUCUAUUUCUGUUUCAUAUAAAACGAGUGUCUUUUUAUGAUAGGUUGAGAUGGGUGGUUGCAAGGCUCCAAUUACAACAUUCAUUGUGGAGCCAUUUGUUCCCCAUGAUCAAGAGUACUACCUAUCUAUUGUCUCUGAAAGGCUUGGCUGCGAAAUAAGUUUUUCAGAAUGUGGGGGUAUCGAAAUUGAAGAGAACUGGGAUAAAGUAGGCGUUGGAUUUUUUAAACUUAUUUUCAAUACGUAAAUUAUAUUUUUCUCAUCGGGGUUUUGAGUGGUAAACUUUAUUUGUUUUGUUUUCAUACAGGUCAAGACGAUUUUCCUUCCAACUGAAAAACCUUUUACACUUGAGGCAUGUGCUCCGUUAAUAGCUACACUUCCUCUGGAGGUCAGUUUCAUUUAUAAUUGUUAUGGAGUUCAAUUUUCUAUUUUCAAAACCAGUGUAGCCUUCUGUUUAAGCCAAAGCUGUAUUCAUAACAGACAGCACAAAAAAAAGAGGACCUCCCAAGACAGAAAUGAGCGAGGCCCACUGAUCUACUUUCUAAGGGAUCAACUUCUAUCUUUGUCCACAUUUUGUUGAAAACUAGCCUUCUUUAUGAACUGAAGGUCAUACUUUCUUCAACAAAAAGCUGAAAAGAUGAAAAUUCAUUUGAAACUUAGUGUGAUUUCUACAUUGCCAAGAGGCAUUUCACUGUACAGAGCCAAAAGGAAGUGGACUCAUCUUCAUCGCCAAGAGGCAGUGAGAUGUUAACUAAAGGUUCACAUAAUAUAUAUCUUUUUGGAUGCUCUUGAAGGGAUAGACCGACCGUUAGUGACUGAACCUACAACAGCUUGAGAUGGGUAUGCUUCAAAGUUCACAAUACUUAUGAUAAAAAAGUUCCAUUUCUCGAGAAAUGAUGUAGUCAAGGGCAUUGGUAAUCACCAUUCAAGCACGUAUUGACCCUCUUUCUCUACUCUAUCUUUUUCAUGCCUAAUGUGGUUUGUAUCUGUUGGAAAUACAAACAAAGUCGAUCAUGAGUAUUUAAGUGGACAACUGUCUCCAAUGGUUGAGGCCUUUUGGGUGAAACUAAAACCAAAGGCAUGAAGGCUUAUGCUGAAAGUGGACAACAUCAUACCAUCAUGGAGAUAUUCGGAGGUUUUUUAUGCCUAAUAAGUGGUCUUAGAGCCAUACCCUUGACUUAAUUGUGUCGAUACAAAAUUCAUUGUUGAAAAAAAGCCCACUAGUGCAAAACAAUAAAAUGACUGAGCCUUAAUCACAUAGUCAUAGUUUGUCAAUAAUCAUUGUGAAUCCAUGGUUGAGCUUUCAGAUAGGCAGUGUGCUUCAAGGAGUGGCUCGGUUUAAAAGUAAUAUCAUCGAAUCUAUUUUGAAGGGCUGACUAUUGGAUGGGAGGCUCAAGGUGGUACUUUGAUCAAGAGAGGAGUGUCAGGAACACAAACAAAGUCCCACAUUGGCUAAAGAGAAGAUUAUAUAAGCGAGGAUAACUAGCUCCAGUUGUAUGAGACAUUUUAGGUGGAACCAAAAGCAGAGUCACGAGGGUUUAUGCCCAAGUGGACAAUAUGAUAUGAAAUAACGAAUGCUUGAAAGAGUAUACAUCUGACUGUACUUGGCUCAGCUAUAAUUAAAAUUCUCUGAAGUUCCAUUGGGAAUGUGCCACAUGCUAGUGUUGGAUAACGCUUUAAUCUUCAUUCCACUCAACCACAUGGUUUAACUACAAAAUUCCCUUACUGCUUCCUUUCCUGGAUACUCUUACUCUUUAACUUUCUCAAGCUUGAAAGAGUUAUUUAGUAUUUUUAAGUUAAUUAAUGGUUUAUCUUCAUCUCUGUUUUCCUCUUGCAAGCUUUCUUGUACUUACUGCACCAUCUAUAUUUUCCCAGAUUCGAGGAAAGAUUGGUGACUUCAUAAUGGGUGUAUUCAAUGUAUUUCAAGGUACAAUAUCUGCUGAUGAAACCAUGUCCUCAUAAAUAUACUAGAGAUGAUAUUAGGCACAUAUAUGUGUCACUUAUCCAACAGAGAAUAAUACUGUAGCUAUUUUCAUAGAUUUUCUGUACAUAUGUCCAUAUGCUGUCAGAUAAUUUUUCCUCAAAGAAUGCAAAAUAAUGGUAUUUGACUCUAAAGUGGCUUAAAUUUUCUACAGAUCUGGACUUCAGUUUUCUGGAGAUGAAUCCAUUCACCCUGGUGAACGGGGAGCCAUAUCCACUGGAUAUGAGAGGGGAAUUGGAUGACACUGCUGCUUUCAAAAAUUUUAAGAAGUAUUCAUUAAUUAUAAUAUUCUCAGUACUUUUUUCUAACAUGUGCUUCAUUUUUUAUUAACAAAAUUUUUCUUAUCUUGUUCAAUAAUUCUCAGUUUUAAAAAAAAAACAUUUACCAUAUGAAAAUGCAUCCUUUGUGACGUCUCAUUUAUGAUAUGCUGUUCUCAGAUGGGGAAACAUUGAAUUUCCUUUGCCCUUUGGUCGAGUGCUAAGCUCUACAGAAAGUUUUGUUCACUCUUUAGAUGAAAAGGUAAUUCAUUUUGAGCCAUCAUUGAUGCUUAGAAAUAACCUGAGUUUUCACGGCUCAAUAUUUGACUGAAGCCAUGAAGAUUUUUUUGAGUACUCCCUGAUGGUUAAUAAUGGUAUAUAGUUGUAAAUUAACCAAUGAUUUUAUCCGAGUAUUAUGAUAUUUAUGAUGAUCAAAAGGACACCAUAUCUUGGAUUCAUGGGUUCAAAAAAUUUAAAAUAUUAAAUGUUGUAUGGUUUCUUCUUAUAAUGAUUUUUUUAAUCGGGAGUUGUUCCACAAGAUUGGUAGAAGCAUAAAUAAUCUAGUCCAAAUACUAGUAAGAAAGGGUAAAAAUGAAGUGUAUAGAAUUAGAAUUUGCAUCUCUACAACAGAAGGCAGAAGUUUUAAUAACAUUAUAAUGUUGAUCGUGUAGACAAGUGCAUCCUUGAAAUUCACUGUUUUGAACCCAAAAGGGCGCAUAUGGACAAUGGUGGCAGGAGGGGGUGCUAGCGUUAUAUAUGCGGAUACUGUAAGUGGUGCUAGUACAAUGCAUGGACUUUAUAGUUUUCCUCUAGCUGAAAGCAUGGAGCUGUAUAUGCUCUUGAUGAUUACGUUUUAUGGUCCAAAGACAUUGCUACUGAUGCCAUAUUGUCUAUUACUGGUAGGUCGGAGAUUUGGGUUAUGCAUCUGAGCUUGGUAAUUAUGCGGAAUACAGUGGAGCUCCAAAUGAGGAGGAGGUGUUGCAAUAUGCCCGAGUUGUUAUUGAUGUAAGAAUUAGUGUUUACACUUUCAGUCCAAGCAUCUCCAUAUGUCGGGAAUAAUUUUUUUGUCAUGAAACGAUUUAAUUAAUUUUGAAUUGUGAUGAAAUUCAGUGUGCUACUUCUGACCCUGAUGGGCGGAAGCGAGCCCUUCUAAUUGGAGGGGGAAUAGCUAAUUUCACAGAUGUUGCUGCUACUUUCAAUGGAAUUAUCCGAGCUCUAAGAGAGAAAGUGGGUUACUACUAGAAUUGAUUUGCUCUUCAGUUUAGUUUUUUCCCCUAAAUAAAGUCUAAUAUUUCUGUUAUCUACCAGGAAUCGAAAUUAAAGGCUGCAAGAAUGCAUAUCUAUGUUCGGAGAGGUGGUCCAAAUUAUCAGACUGGUCUUUCAAAAAUGCGGGCUCUCGGAGAGGAGCUUGGAGUUCCACUUGAGGUACAAUAAGUUCACUUUUAAUUCUUCUCUACCAAGUAGAUGUUGUAACCAUUUUCACUUAUCCUUUAAUGGUCACACAAUCGAAAGUGGGGUAUUGAAAUGAAUUCCAUUUAGAAAAGAGAACCAAAAGAUCAUCAGGGAGAAGAGGGAUUUUUAUGAAAUGCCUCAUUUAUAUUUUAAGGGUGUGUCAAUCUAAUUGAGAUAGUCGGUUGCACCUACUGAUCUCCAUCCUCUAAGUUAAAUCUAGUUCUUAUUACAUAUCACCGUAAUUUGAACAUUAGUUUCUUUUCAUUGCAUCAAUGAAAGAUGUUGUUUCUGUUUAAAAAAGGAUGGAUGAACAAAUCCCCAUUCUAGGCCAGUACUCUGGAUUGUGAAUGAGUGGGAGGGUGGCCGUUUGCAUUUAAGUAGAAAACACCCAGUAUUGACUCAAAUUAUGUUGGAGAUGCGGUAUCUCGUCUUCUAUAAACUUGCUGUAAUAUAGUUCCUUGAGUAAAAAGGGUUUGCACUGGCCAGAGGGGUGAUGUUGAAGAAAACAAAACUGAGCUACAGCUCCUCAAACUCAGUAUUGACGUUGUUUAUUGACGAGGAGUUGUGCUCAGGUUGUUGCCCAAGAAGUUUGUGGAUCUCACUGCUAAAAAAAUCAAAUUUUCAGGAGUUCAUAAUUCUCUGAACAAAACUUGACUCUUUGUCCCAGACACCCCCUCUAGGAUUGCAACUUGCAAUAGUUUUUUAAAUAUCGCUUUAAAAUGGAUCCUUUGUUUUUGGAGAAUGAUCUCUAAACUCUUGGGAUGAACUUCCCUGGUUUGGUUAUAGACUUGGCCUACGUUUUCCGGCUUAUGCAUUCUGUAUAAAACUUUCUUCCCUCUCUCCAUGCAGGUUUUCGGUCCAGAAGCCACAAUGACUGGCAUCUGCAAACAAGCAAUUGAGUGCAUAAUGUCUGCUGCAUAAUCCCCCAUUUCUUUUGCAGCGGAUGACAACUAAGUUGAAAGAUUUAAGAAAUAUCUUUUAUCGCUUGGUCAGUGGGGAAGGGAAAGGUCAAGGAAAGGGAGUUGUGGUAUAUGCUUCUGUAGCAUCGCUCGUUUAAUUUUGUGGUCCUUGGAAUUUGAAAAACAAUCCCUUCAUAUUUCUUUGUCAUAUGAAGAUGAUGCCAGAGUUAAGUUAUAUGUGUACUCUUUUUGACUCAGGUUAACCUGUUGUGUGCACCAUUUGUAUAACCUUUCAGUGUAUUGUUCUUAUUAUCAGAAUUUACCAUUCUCCACAACUUCGCUUUAUUUUUCCUUUUUUCUUUUUAAACGAUGCUUACUUUAAUCUUGCAUUAGCUGUGCAGCUAUUUCAUCUUCUCAUUGUCGAUUUUGUUUUUCUAUUUAUUAAAGUUUUUAUUCCAUUUUUAUACUCAAUGAUUCGUUUUAUAUGGUUCUAACCAACAAAUUUAUGUAAUGAUAUACUCUUUCUUUCGUGGAAAAUUUGAUGUGAUGAUAUUGAUAAAAAUUAGCAAAGUAUACAAUUUAAAGUCAGAAAUAUACAAUCACACUUUUGUAUUUUUAAAAUAAGUAAAUAAAACAAUUGACAAUUAUUACCUUUAACAUAAAACUAUUUUUUAAUAUAGUAAAAUGCACUAAAUUAUUUAUAAUUUAUAGCAAAAUACUAUAUUUAUGACAAUAGAGUAUUAUACUAUUUAGCAUAGAAAGAUGAAGCUUUUAAACCAUGCAGACAUAAUUAAAAUGAAAACAAGGAAAUGCAAUCAAAUCAACCCGGUUUUUUUGUUACGGCCUUAUUUAAUAUGCAUGUCAAAACGUGGCCGUUCCAUGAAAAUGGAAGGGAAAAAAUUUAACAAAUAUUAAUGGUCCCGGCGGGGCUCGAACCCGCGACCUUCGGCUCAUAAGACCAACGCUCUAACCAACUGAGCUACGGGACCUGUUCGAUAUUUAAAUGAUAUCUAAUUUAUUUAUUUCUUUUGAAAGAAAAAAGAAAAAUCUAAAAGUAGAACAAACUAAAAAAGUUAAGAAACUAAGGAUCAUUUUGUAGAUUUUUACAAAAUUAUGUGAGCAAGAGGUUAAAAUUAUUAAGUUUAAAAAGUGGGGUAAAAUCAUUUUCGACAUUGAAAUUAAGAUUAACAUACAACGAUGUGAACAUUAGUGUAUCUUGGACAUAUCUAUGAUGACUUUUUAAAUGUUUUAAAAAGUAAACCAAACAUAGCUUCAUGUUGAUCAUUCGGUCGUUUAUGAUUUAAGAAUAUAUAUAAUAUAAUUUCGCCACAUGUACGAUUAUAUUUUAAUAUUUCUCAAAUUUAAAAAUUAUAUCUAGAAAAUAAUAUUAUAACAUUAUAGAUUAAAAUUUACUUGAUAUUGAGGUGUAAUACUUGUUAUAAUUAGAGAAGACAAUUUAUAGCUUAAAACGCAUGUAAAUAGGAAUUAAAGAGUUGGCAAAUUAAUGUUAGCCCUACAAAUGCAAACCAUAAUUAGAAAUUGGAACAAAACACUUAUUAUGGCAAACUCAAUGCAACAUUAUAAAUUCCCAAGAUUUCUAACCAUUCAUUACCUUCUUCUAUAGCUAUCAAAGGAGGGCACUGUAGUUUUAGCAAUUCAAUCUCAAAUAUUUGUUGAUUUGAUAACUUAACAAUGACGUUUUCUCUGAGAAGCAUUUUCAUUACAAUUUGCAUUAUCUUGCUUAGCAUCAACAUUAACAUGAUUGAGGUUGUAAAUGCAUCGAGAUUCAGUGACUAUAACGAUCCAAUUGCUGAUGUCAGUGCUGAAUGUGGUUACAAACGUUCUUACCAUUGUAAACCACCUCGUCAAAUUCACAAUAGAAAGAUAAGUCUUAGCAGAAACAACGGAAUAAAUAAAAGUAUUUCAUGAGUUUUCUACCUCAUCGACUACUUUUCAUUGGAAUCAUUUCAUAUAUCAAAUCUAUCUUUAAUCUUUGUAACCAGAGAAAACUAUAUGUUAUUUAUUUAUUAUUACGUAUUAUUUGAAUAAUAUGAUUUGACUCAAUUAUUUAUCCAUGUACUCUCUACGUUAUUAAUUUUAUUAAUUAAGUCAAUACAUAUUUUUUCUUAAGAAUCCAAAACCAAGCCAAAAUCAAAAUUUUCAGUUAAACUUUGGUCCAAAGUCCAAUCCAAGUACUUCAUGAAUUAUUUGUAUACAUAUAUGUAAAAAUAUAGAGAAAUCAAACCUUUUAAAAUAGACCUUAUGAAUCUUGUGUACAACAAAUAAAAUAAAUUAUAUUUGAUGUCUACACAGUAAAUAUGAUAAUAUUUUAAGAAAUGUGAAUAACUGUUCAUCUUUGAUGAGCAUUUGGUUUUUUAAAAUUAAGUUUAUAUUUACUAGCAAUUUGUUUUAUUUAAUUGUUGUAUAUUUUUAAAACGGAAGCCAAAUUUUGAAAAAAAUAAUUGUUUUUGUGUUUUUAAAAUUGGAUACAAAUGGAGUGAUUAUUGAUGAAAGAUAAAAGGUAAAGUACCUCGCGUACCAAAAUUAAGAAAGAUAAAAUAUAAAUUUAUCUCGACUAAUUAAUCAAAAUUAAUCAUUAACUUGAAAUCAAAACUUGAUCUUAGAAUUAUUGGACCCUUUGAAAUGAAAAAUGUCACAUUUUUUUUUAUUUUUUAAAUAAUGAUAAAUGACCUUCAGCUCAUAUAUAGAUGAGCGGAGUUACAAAUUUGCCAUUCUGUUAGAUUUCUUUCCUAAACAAUUUUGGGGAAUUUGUUCUCUUUCCUUCUUUGGCAAAAUCACACACUAUCGUAGCUCCAAUUACGAGAGAGGAAAGUAAUUUAUAAGCAAGAAAAAACGAAGAGCAGAAUAGAAGAUUAUAUGUGAGCGAGAAAAGUAAGCAAGAGCUAGUGAGAGAGAAAUAAACUUCUCCACGUAGAGCAAAGAUUGAAAAAGUAAAAAGAAAAAGUAAAAAGAAAAAGUAAAAAGAAAAAGAAAAAAUUACUUAUCAAAAUGAGAUAAAUGGAGCCACAAAAUAAAAAGUAUUUUAUUUACAAAUAUCACAGUCAUAUAAUAAUAAUUUCUAUGAAUUUUUGUUCUAUGUUUAUAAAUAUUUUGAAAGUUUUGGGCAUUUAAAAGGAAUUAUGUAAGUUUCACAUAAAUGGUAUCAUUUCUGGCGUUGGGUGGUUCAUUGGCCUCCCGCCAUUCGAACUUUCGAACGCUCCUUCUCUGCAUUUGCCCAUCUCCUCUCUCAGUCCCUCUACUUUCUCCAAUCAUCUUUACACCAUCAGCAUGACUUCCAAUCUAGGUACCCAAAACCUUACAACAAUCCAACUCUCAUCUUCCUUUCAUUAUAUAUAUAUUUUUUGCUUCGUUUCUGAUUGUGUUAAACGGGUCAAAUUCUAGGUGGAAAGGCCAUUGAUUUGUGGUCCGAGUUAAUUGCCAGCGAGGGAAGCGACCUCCAAGAAGAAGCCUCAGUAGAAGAGGUUUAUAGACGAAGAAAGCCAACCCAGAAGACCGUUCAUCCUCCUCACCCGUAAAUUUUCUUCAAUCACUCCUUUAAUUCCUCUCUGUUUUUUACGUUGUUUGAUCAAAUCCACUGUUUCAUGUGUUUCUGUUUCAAUUUUCUUUCAGGAAGCAAAACUUGGGUUCCAAUGGUUGCAAUGUGAACAGAGUGAGUUUAGCUGCCGUUGACAGUAAGAGAAUUAGUUGGAACCGUGCCCUUUCCAUCAGGUUUACUUCGAUCUUCUUUUAAUGUUCUCUUCAAAUUUGUGCUGACAAUUCCUAUAAGAUUGUCGAUGUGGUUUUGUAUCUGCUCUAUAAAUUGUUGCUAGCAUGGAGAGUUUUGUUGUAGCUUAUCCCCUUGAAGUUGACUAUUUAAUGACUACACUGAAACACAGAGAGAAAAAUAUCUAAAUGACAAUGAUGUAAGUCUAGACAACACAUUAAUACGCUCUGGGGCAGUAGAUUAUUGAGUAAGUUAUCAUGUAGUAUAACUGCUAAUCGGAUGCCAUGAAGUUAUCACAAAAGGAUAGAUGAGUUGUAAGAACGGGUUAGAGAGAGUAGGGAUCAACAGUGUCAACUGUGCCGCCUUGGCCUUCAUAGUACAUUCUUCUUUUCUUGUAAAAAAGAGUAUCAUUCACAGACCCCAUAUAAUUUGACAUAUUGCACGUUUGUUCUCAUGCUGAGUAGGUUCACAUUUAUGGUAUGGCUAAUGAAACUCUUUAACAAGGCCUAGGUUCUCUUAGCUAGAUUUUCUGAUGCACUCAAGUUUAAGCCAUUUUAUUGAAAUGGAAAAUUUUAGCCUAAAAGCAUACAUAGAGACUAUAUUUGUACAAAAGGGGAGGCUUGCCUAACCAGCCAACAGCCUGCUAACCAACUAAACAGCCAAGAAACAGCUAUAACUAACUUAUAACAAUCAGCCUAAAUAAUUGCAAGAAAGAGAGUAAAAAUAACCACAGCCGUACUUGGUUAAGAAAACUCACACAAUGAAAGGUCCUACAUCAAACCCUUCUCACCAGAAAGAAGACUCGCCCGAGAAUUUUAGGUGCUAAGUUGUCAGAAGGUGCAAACUUAGGGAAGACAAUUGACACAUUUAAGGUGUUGCUAAUGGGCAUGGAAGGAGAGAGAUCAAUAGAACAAGCAUCAUGGCCAAUUCUCUCUAAAAUUGGAAAUGGGGCAACCUUCUUGUUGGUGAGCUUAGAAUGAGUCCUUGCGGGAAGUCUAGAGUUCUUCAUGUACCAUUACAAGAUCACUAAGUUGAAAACCCCCUAGAUGCCACGAGCCUUACGGGAAUUGAUAGCUUAUUCAAGAUGAUGUUGAACCUCUUGGUGGAGCCUCAAAACCCGCACAACCAUUAAAUCAACCUUUGUUUUCAAGAUCAAUAGAAGGCAAUUUUUGGGUGGUGGUGGUGGUGGAAGGAAAGUAACUUUUCAUUGAUUAUGAAAAUAAGCUAAUGUUCCAAAAUAGACGAUACAAAUAAUAAAAAAAAAAGAGAUACUGAAAGCAGUACAACAUCAUCAGAACAAUCUGAAUCAAAGAUUAAGCAGAAAAAAUAAAAGCUCCCAAAUUCAGACAAAUAUCUUGAAUAGAAAUAUUCACGAAAGAUUUAGACAAGAAACACCAAGAAGAAGCAUUAACUUUUGCUACUUUAAAAUGUUCAGGCCACUGGAGAUGCUUAUCUUGGAAAACUCUUUGGUUCCUUUCAAACCAAAUUUCAGCUAGUAAUGCUUUAACCGCAUCGUUAUAUGGGACCAAAGCAAAGAUUAAAAGUCCUUAUAGAGAUAGGGACAAGGAUGGGAUCUCUGCUCUAUUGAUUUAUUGAUUGAUGUUAUUUUCUAACCAAAUAAUAAACAUUCACUUAUUGUCUUCAUUUUCUUUCUCAUUCACUUGCAAUUGGCUGAGUGUAUUGUGUUUCACUUUUAUCAGAGGGAGGGUGAGUAUUGCAGUUGAGGCUUGUAUAGAUCGUCAGCGUCAAUGUAAGCAGGCAAAGAGAAAAGGAAAACCUGCUCUUCCUAAAGUAGGCUUCUUUUUAACUGGUGACCUUUGUUUCCCCUUUACUUUAUGCAGUUAGAGUGUUCUGUUCAUUUAAUCUUUUCUUUUUCGUAAAUGUUAAACCUUUUUGCAUCUCACACCUAUGCUUUGCAUUUAGUAUUUGAAGUUUUUAUGAGGUUCUUUAUUCUCUACGUUCAUCACAAGUACUUUAAUAUUUGAAAUUGGCAGGGAAAGUAUGUACAACCUACAAACUUUGACAAGGAGCGUGCAUACUUUCAAGAGGUAGAUGCUUUUGAGUUGUUGGAGGAGAGCCCUUCCCCCAAGAGCUUCAGUACAUGGACAAGCAGCCAAUUUGAUAGUUCUACAAUACCAUCUCUAUGCUCUAGAAUAGAAAAAUGGUUAAUUUCCAAGAAAUCAAAGUACAGUCUUGCACCUUCUAGCACGUUAUCAAAGAUAUUAGAAACUCCACUGGGGUCCAUUGAACCAAUUGGUGGAAUUCAUUUGGACAAAUUCAAAUUGAAAACUCCCGAGAAUUCAGCUAGAGAUAGAGAUGCGCACUGGUGCUCUAUUCAGAGAAGAUUUAUUUUCAGUAUAAAUGAUAUCGAUGCCCUUAAAAUAGAUAGCAAUGACAACAGAAGUAACAGAGCAGAAGAAAUGAGAACUGAGGAUCGUGAAGACAUUGAAGUUGCUGUGAAGAAACUUUCUUUAACAUCUACAUCUACUUCUUUCCAUAAAUAUGAUUUGGAUCCACUUAGUGCAUUAUUAGCAGUUUGUGGACAGUCAACUCCUUCCACGCUUAAAGACGUAUUCUCUAAUUAUUGGUUUGUUCGUCAGUCUGGAAACACUUAUUUUCAUGCAUUUAUCCUGCUUAGGUUUAAAAGAGCACAAAACAAUAUGUUUAGCCUUUUGUCUUCUCCCAGAUUUGAUGGUUGGUUUCUGAUUCUGUUCCCUUCUUUGCCUCUCUGAAUUCUUUGUGCACAGAGGGGUGGGAAGAGGUUCCUGAUAGAAAUGGUAUAUGGGUGCUCGAGGCAUAUCAGGGGUACAUUACUAAUUACUAAUUAACUAAGGGAGUUGGUUAUGGAAUUUGGUUAUAAACAGGGUUAGGGAGAAUAGGGAAGAUAGGCCAUAUUUUGGUGAGUGAAUUUGGGGUUGAGUGUGAUCUCAAGAUUGGGGGGUCCAAGUACCUCUAUUUUUUAUUUUAUACUUUGGUUAUCAAUUAUAUCUCAAUAUAUUUGGGUUCUAUCAAUUGACAAUUUCACCUCCAAACGGAGAUUCCUCAGUAACGUAAUGCACAAACUGUUUCUUAAGGUUUAAUCUUUUAGGGAUUUGUGUUGCUGCCCUUUAGUUUAUUGUCAAGCUUUAGCAUGGCAGACUCUAUUUGGAAGUAUUAAUUGAAUGAGUUGAUUGAGGAUCAAGCUCAACAAGUUACGGCUUUCUUAAAUCUGUUGAACUCAAGUAAUUUUGCUGAAAUUUCAGUCUCCAAUUGUCAUAGAGUCAAUAUGAUACAUUCACUUCGAUUUAUUUGUAUGCCAUUUUAUAAAUGGUUUGCGGCCACUGCUCUUGCAAUUGAAGUUGUUUUCCAGUUAAUUUCUUGGUUUACUUUAUCUUGCAUGUUGCUCAUUCACUUUCUUUAAAUUUCUGUAAUUACUUUGUUUUUGAUUCAGUGAGCUGGAAACUAUUGUCAAAGUUGGUGAAGGUACGUAUGGAGAAGCUUUCAAAGUUGGUAACACCGUUUGCAAGGUAGUUCCAAUAGACGGAGACUUGAAAGUUAAUGGAGAAAUACAAAAGGUACACUUCAGCACCAACUCAAGACUAUUCCAUCUUGGCAAGUGGCACUUGAUAGGAAAACUGUGGGGUGGGAGAUCAUGUUGACGAAUCCUUGCGUUUUGGGAAGUAGAUUUUUAACGCAUUGACUUUUUUGAAAUUCUUUCCUAUAUGUUCUUUCGUUUGUUCUUUAAAAAUAUUAUAAUAUUUGUUUCUGAUUUUGUUUCAUUCCAUUGAUUCUGAUGAAUGUAGUUUAACCAGAAUCUUGUUGUAAGUCUAAGUCAGUCAUUAUUCUAUAGGAAUGAGUUUGCUUACUUGGAGCCCCUCCUUGUAAGGGGCACUUGCAAAAUAUUUAUUAUAAUAACGUCUGUGUCACUACAUUUUCUAAAUUGCAAAAGUAGCAAAUUUAAAAGCUGAUAACUCCCUGAGAAUUCUAGAUAGCCCUCUGAUAGCUGUCUGAUAUCAUUAAUUACUUGUUAUAUUUGCCAUAUUCGCAAUGUGCAAAAAAGAAGUGCUAUUGACUGUUUUUUUAAAAUGUUUUUGUCAUCUAUGCAAUUUCCUUCUUGUAAUAUCUCUCUCUUUUCUUUUUUGUGGGCUUGGUUUUUUGUAUGAUUGUGCAUUCUUACAUUUUUUUUCUCAAUGAAAGUGAGUUUUUUCAUAAAAGAGAACUCUAAAUCAGUCAUACUUACUUUGUAUCAGAGAUCAGUAGAACUGCUGGAGGAAGUCAUACUUUCCAGAACUCUAAAUUCUUUAAGAAGUAACGAGCGCUGUGCUGAUAACUUUUGCACAACAUUCAUACGAACCAUAGAGUAUGUUUGCUCCGUAGUGAGAUAAAUAUCCAUGGUUUUCUACAAUGCCAAUACACAUCCACUGACUAGAAUUUUUUACCAUGCUUUUUCCUUAUCCGCAGUAGUUUCUUUCUGCUUUAUGUUGGGCAAUCAAACAUUUUGAUGUGAUACAAUUUUUAGUCCAAAUAUAUGGGAGAACUUGUUUCCAGCACAUUCCAUACCCUGGGUUUUGUGAGAAUGACUUUCGUAUAAAACUGGAGCAGUUUCUUAUGGAUUAUGAACUAAUAUCUACGUGAUUUUUUUAUCCAAUAGUUUAAGGGUAUGUCAAGGUUCUUAUGACGCUGUACUAGUCAAGGCUUGGGAAGAUUGGGAUGAAAAGCAUGGCUCAGAAAAUGAUCACCCGAAGGAGUUUCCGGAGAAACAGGUUUCUCUUUGUAUAGAUCAUGAAUUAUUUAUUUUUCCGAAAUUUAGAAUGGUAACAUAAAACACAAGAACGUAUUUCUAUUCUCAUAAUGUUGCUUAUCUUGUGAAAAUAAUUUAUGUAGCUAGAAUAUCAUUUGAUUUAUUUUUAUGUUUCUUCAUAUUACACAUGUAUUUGAGUUUCCAGAGAAACAUGUUCUUUUCAAUCACGAAUUACUUUUACCUACUUGGAUUUGCAUUUUAAUCUUUUACAUGUAGGUCUUUUUUUGGAUUAAAAAAAACAUUUUUUUUGAUAAACGAAGUGAGGGAAAAACCCCAAAACACCUAUAGGUGAGUACAUGUAGCCAUGUUAUAAGCGAAAGAUAAAACAUAGAAACGUAUAUUUGCUCACAUAAUAUUGCUCAUCUUCUGAAAAUAAUUCUUGUUGCUAGAAGAUCAUGAUCAUUUCUUUUUUGUAUUUCUUCGUAGAUACCAACAUGUCACUUUGUCGUAAGAUCUCACAAUGUAUGCCUUAAGUAAUGGCAUUAAAUUAUUUUAAAUAAAAUGUCAUAUUAUGAUAUUAGAGGCUUGAAUUGUGUAAUUUAUCUGGUUGUUGACUCUUGCUGAUGUUCUGUACAGCUUUAUGUUGUGUUUGUUCUCCAACAUGGGGGAAAAGAUCUUGAAAGCUUUGUACUCCUAAAUUAUGAUGAGGCCCAAAGCUUAUUAGUACAGGUUUGCAAUGGAUUUUACUAGCGUUAUUGGCUUUUGAAGCUUCAAUCAAACCAAUUUUGACGAAUUGCAGGUAACUGCGGCUCUGGCUGUAGCUGAAGCUGCUUAUCAAUUUGAACACCGAGAUCUGCACUGGUCGGAUUAUUCGUCAAUCUACAGUUAUUUUAGUCGUUUCUUUUCUUUGGCUACUGAUUUGCAUCAUGUAUUUAUUGCCAGGGGAAAUGUACUGUUAAGUCGGAAUGAUUAUGAAGCGUUGCAGUUCACCCUUGAGAGUAAGAACAUGACCGUAAAAACAUUUGGACUUCAGAUUUCGAUAAUCGAUUUCACUUUAUCGCGAAUUAAUACUGGUAAGAGGUUUUUAAUUUAUUGUCUUUGGGGAGUUUGCACCGAGCCAAUUCCCUUCUUAAUUAAAAUUUGUUCAUGAGCUUGCUUACCCAAAAAGGGAGUUAGAGAACUCAAUGAAUGUUUGAUAUGCAGGUGAAGACAUACUCUUUUUAGAUCUUUCCUCAGAUCCUUAUCUCUUUAAGGGUCCAAGAGGAGAUAGACAAGUAAGCAACCAUUCAAUUUGAUUUCUAAAGAAUUCUUAAUCUACUUAUCUGAAAUUUUUCGUGUUACUUUUCAAUUUUUAUUUUCAUAUGCAGUCAGAAACAUAUAGAAAAAUGAAGGAGGUGACCGGAGACUGCUGGGAGGGGAGGUACGAGUGUUGUAUGCAUUUAUCUUUUCUAUCAAUUAUCAUAUCUGAGUCAAUCAUAGAGGCGAUUUUGAUAUUUUUUCCGUUUGGGAUCCUCAGGUUUUAAUUGCUAAUCGAUUUAUAGAAAAACUCAGUAUAUGCUUCGUAGCUAAUAUUUGGUAUUUUUCAAUUUAGUUUUUAUUAUUUUAAAAUUUCCAACUUAGUGCUCUAACACGUUACAAAAUUUCAGCAAUAGUCAUGUUUCCCUUCACUUCCAAUAAUUUCGUAUACAAACUUGAAUACCAAAGGCCUGAGAUAACAUCCUCCCCCCCCCCAUUAGGGAUAUCAUUCCAUUUGUUUGUAUGAGCGAAACAUUUUGGUAAUUUUCUGUUUGAACUUUAGUUUUUAACGAUUUAACCUUUCUACUUUUCAUUUUGAAACAAUUUAGUUCUUAAAUUUUAGGAGGCAACACUUUUAAAUUUAUAAAAUUUAGUCAAUUCUUCUUUUAUCAUAAUAACUUUCUCAAAAUCAAAUGUUAAAUUUUGUUAUUUAAUUUUUGUAGUUUAUAAGCACAUUUGGUUCUUAACUAAUUUUAUCAAGAAAACUAAUUGAAUCUUAAUAAUAUUUUUCAUAAUAGAGACUUAAUCAUUACAAAAUUGAAAGUGAAAGACUAAAUUAUCACAUUAUUUAAUUUGUAAACUAAAACUCUUGUCAAACUGAAAAUGUAGGAGCUAAAACUACCAAAAGUUUAAAGACUAAAUUAUUGCUUACAUAAAAGGAGAAAAAGUAAAUUUUAACUUAACAUUUUUAUUUAAGAUAUGUGGAUGAAUAGGAAAAUUGGUUGAUUAUUAACUUAAAAUUAAUUAAAAUUUAGAAGAGUAGAAAGGUCAUCUAAAAUAAAAAAGAAUCGAAAUUUGUACUAAUUUCUAGAAAUUUGGAGGAGAAAUAAGAAACUUCCCUUUCUUAGAUGAUCUUUUUUCUCCUAUUAAGUUUUUGCUAAUUGACGAAGUAUUAUAACAUUUAUUCAUAAAAAGGGUGUAUUAUACAAUGCAUGUUUAUCAUCUAUAAAUUUAACAUUUAUCAACUGUCACAGACUAACUUGAAAAAUGCUAAUCAUAGGGGAUUAUUUUAGAACUACUAACUCAUAGGGAUUAUUGGAACUUUUUCAAUGAUAUGGACUAGAUUAAAAAAUACCCAAACAUGAGAGACUUAAAUAUGUUUACCCUUUUAGAAAUAUCCAAAAAAGAUGAGCUUGUGCUGGAUUUGCUUCUUGGUAAGCGUGCAGAAAGGAAGAUUUUAUUCUAGUUCUUCCCCUUCCUCUCCCCCUUCCUCCCAGCUAGAGCAACCACGGUGAUUCUACUUGAUAUGAAUCUACAACUCCAUCGACAAAGUUGAUACAUCUAAAGUUAAAAAAUAUAAUCGAUGAAAUUAGCAAGACAAUAUGCUUUCAAAAUAUAGUAUUUAGUAGUAAACAUUUUACCUUCCGUCAUACUAACCCGAUACAUUUUGCUAUUGAAAAUUGUAUGCGACUCAUAACUGAAACCGUUGAUUUUAUAUUCAACAGCUUUCCUAGAACGAACGUCCUGUGGUUACUCUACCUUGUGGAUAUAUUACUUCUGAAGAAAUCAUUCGUAAGUUUUCUCUAUUUUAUCAGGAAAUCAAUCAUAAUCCUUCCUUAGAAACCGAAGAAUUGAAUUUAGCUUUUAUGAACAAUCACGUUCAGUUGUUAGAGCUUACUGAUUGCUUUUCUCAAAAACUUCUAGAGUAGAGUUAUCAAACGAUUUUAUUUACGCUUUAAUUACUUUUCUGGAUUUUGAUUUUGAAUCUAGAUAAGUUCUAGAUUUUCUUGGUUGUAUUGUUUCUAAAGGUUCGUACAUAUUCAGAAAGUUUAUUUCUGAAUUGGUUUUAUACUUUUAUAUAUAUAUUCUCAUUCUGUGUCUGUCUGAACAAAAUUUGGCGAAGUACAAGGUUGAUUAUUCUGAAGAUUCACAUAAAAUGUAAGAUAAAUAUUUUAGCUAUUCUCCUUUUUGUUUUUCCUCCUGCUGUGGUGUUUACCUUCUAGGAGAUUCAGAUAUCCAAUAAGGUGUACAUUUACAGUGGUUUUGGAAAUGUUUUUGCUGUCUGAAAUGUCACUGGAAAAUUUUGAUUGAAAGGCUGUCGAUAUUAUCCAGGAGCGUAGUUCAAAACAUGAAAGGGAGCUGCGUGCAUUCAAGAAACGUCUGGACAAAUAUACUUCAACAAAAGAAGCAAUUUAUGAUCAAUUUUUCAGUGAGUUGAUUGUUUGGUCAAGCAGCGUGGAGUAGAGCUGGAUGACUUGGACUUUUCCAACAUGAUGUAGAAUGAAGUCCUGAAAUGUCAUUGCUAUAUAAACUACGUACUGAUGUGGUUUGCACCAAUAUUUUGUAGGAUAUUGCCACCUGCCUGUGGAUCUAAUCAUGUAAAUAAAUCACGGUAACGUUUAAGAAAAUAUAGACCAAAUUUACAGAAAUGUUAGGUAUAAUGGCAAGGUUUAUUUUAAUAACAUCUCUUUAGAAUUUUAUGUUAUCUUGUUUUUCGACAGUGACGUUUCUCAUUUCAUUAUGAAUUAUCUGAGUUCUUAUAGUUAUGGAAAAUUAAAGGCAAACUUAUCAGAGAAAAAGGGGACUGAUAGGUGAUGAUUUAGAUAAAUUUGCUUUAGUAAAAAGUAGGUGCAUAAUAUCAUCUUUUGCAUCAUAUUUACUUUGCGAUGAUCUCUAAGCCAAUUGAUUUGAGUCUUUGUUAGAACAUCAUCUGAAGAUGUGCUGGCAAACCACUACCAUUUUAUCUUCUACUAGAAUCGUGCAUAUGCAUGACAUAGGCUCAAUUCUCAAGGAUUGUGGCAUGACAGACCAAUACAUGAACCAAAAUUCGAUUCCUCUGGUUCUCUAAUUUCCAUUUUUGGGCAGGGAAAAGCACUCUUCUCUUUUUAUCAUCUUUUAUAUUUCUGCUGGAGAAUUACUUUGAAAAGCUAGCUUUUCAUUUUUGUUUUCUGAACUAUUCUUAGGGAUUAUCUUGGGUGCCUUUUCUGAGUUACUAUAUUGUGCAUUUAAAUUAUUGUUCUCAAGUUCGUGACUUAGUUUUAAAACAUGUUUUGAUUCUAUAAUUGGGCAUCAGAAGGUGGGCGUAUGGCUUUAUGCAGGAAAGCCCAAUGGAGAAAUAUAAAACAGGUGAUUGACGGUAUGGGCACCCUCUCUCUCUGAAAUGUAACAUGUUUGCUUUCGGCUUUGUCUAGUCACACAAGGUGCUUUUGAUCCAUUGAUACGAAGAACCAAAGCGUCAUAGGUAAUUUCACAUGCAUUGUCCCCACUCCCAUUGUAUAUUCUAAAUCUUAAUUCCACGUCCACUAUCACAGCAGCAACAGAACCUCUAUGGCAUGUUUGCGGAAAGUAGCAAAAAAACCUUUUUUUGUGCCACUUGGGAAAGCCUUUGCAGGAUCAACCUCGUUUCAAAGUCUGCAUCAUCUUGUGUAUUCUUUUUUUCCUUUUGUUUUGUUGCACUCGGCAUAAACUCGGAAGUUCUGCCCAUUAUGUCUCAUUUUUUCCAAUAAUGGCUGUCAAAUCUUGUUCCUGAAGUAAUCUCAAAAGGCCAAAGUCUGCAUCAUUUCAUCCUAAUCCCAAUUCCCAUGUUCAUCUAAUUCUCUCAUUUCUUUCUUUUCCACCUCUAAUAAACUAUUUGCUUUGUGGGUUUUGCUGAGCUGAACACAUUUGACUCCAACUAUAUUAUUUUAAACAUCCACUGAAUCCGUCCAGAGACAACUUUUAUCUCUAAUGUUCUUUAGACUUUAAAGUCGAAUUUUGAGAAAUCAUAUUUUGUAUUUAUUGGAAUGGUUGUUAGCUUAUUGUAUAUUCAAUUUAACGUAUAAACUUUAUCGGUUGAUUAUCUUGUUCCCGAUUUCAAAAGAAAUUAGGUCGGAGAAAAGAGAGAAAAAAGGAUUGCGAUUACUUGGAAAGGGAAGUGAAUGAAAUCACCAUAGCUUAGUUGCAGUCAUGGGUGCAUGUGUACAAAUGCACAUGCAUGUUUUCUUCUCCUGUAGUUGUGCUAUGGUUGAAUGUUACUUUUAUUAUCUUUGAGGUUAUUUAUCUUUUGAAAAAAGAUGGAAAAAGCAAAAAAGUAUGGAUGGCUGGUUCCCUUUUUUCUACUGCAUCAGAGCCAACAUUUCCAAUAUCAUCCUUGCUCAUAAAGUAACCAUUUUUUCCCUUUCUUUUAUCAAUAAUCUAUUUCUUUCUUUUAUAUUGCAGCCGUAAGCAUUUGCAACUUGGUCAUCUGUCUACUUUUCUAACCUUUACCUUCUUCCUUUUCCCUCUCCCCUCCUUUCCCUUUUUUUUCUCUCUCUUUCACUUUGCAUGUUUCGCCCUUAAACCCUUUCCUUUUACACCAUUUCCCCUGUCUGGUUUCGUGUUUUUAAAAGCAAUGCCUAAAUUAAACCGAUCCCAUUAAGAAUCCAGUUGGGUCUCUUCAUUUGUCCCCAGAAGAGAACUAUAACCUCUCACCAUUAAAAUGGCCCAAACAGCUUCCAAAUGCUUCUUUUUUUCCAUUAUGUCUCUCCUUGCCAUCUGCUCGUCUGGUAAGCAACUUCCCCUCUAUAACAGAUUAUAGAUCUAGCUCAGUUUGUCGUUUUCUGCUCUGAUUGUGUCUUGCUCCCUGCGAGUUACAGCUUCUUAAUCUAAGCUUUGCAUUUUUUUGUUCCCACUAAUGGCAUUUCCUGUUUUGGAGGUUUUGUUUCCUUUCUGUUUCUGAAUGCUUCCGCUUCUUCCAUUUUCGCAGGUAGAUUUGGUGGGUCGCAUUUGGGAGUGGAAGAAAAUGCUUCCUCGGAGUUGAAGUGGAAGUUCCCUGAAUUUGGUCGGACUACAAUGCACGACGCCACAACAAAUUUUCCUACAACCCCGGACACCUCCACACCGACAAUCAUCACCGUUCCCUCGACCAACCCUGUCACUAUCACUCCGUCGAGCCCUGCUGCCACGCCGGUGUCCAUUCCUUUAACGACACCAUUCACAGUUCCGGCUAACUCUCCGGUGCCGCUCACGAAUCCGGUUGCGCCGCCGGUUACAGUUCCCGGAGCACAGCCCAUAACGAACCCUGUCACGACGUAUCCAGCUCCGUCAGGUGGCGCUCCAGUGUUGACACCCCCCACAAACCCAGUUCCGGUAUCCCCUCCGGCGACAACAAACGCACCGGUAAUUCCAGGACAAAGCUGGUGUGUAGCCAGGUCCGGCGCUUCGGAGAUGGCUCUCCAGUCGGCGUUGGAUUACGCUUGUGGCACUGGAGGGGCUGACUGUUCUCAAAUCCAGCAAAGUGGAAGCUGUUACAACCCAAAUACACUUGAAAACCACGCAUCUUUUGCAUUCAAUAGCUAUUUUCAGAAGAAUCCUUCUUCUACAAGCUGUGACUUUGGAGGAUCUGCAAUGGUUACCAACUCCAAUCCAAGUAAGAGAAGACGUUCAUUAUUUUUCAAUACCCCCACUUGUUCCUCUGUUUUUCGCAAUUGAUCUUCUUUUCUUUCGACAGGCACUGGCUCUUGUAUUUACCCAUCAUCAUCUUCCUCUGCAACGCCGGCAUCCAUGACGCCGUCGGUUCCAACGCAGACACCGACAACAACAGCGCCGAUCACAGUCUCACCAACUACAGUUACAAAUCCAACAACUUCUUCACCAGUGGGGACCGGCAUGCCAGAGUAAGUCCUCUGUUCACUUCUCAUGCCUUCGAAUUCAUAGGUUAAAUUAGGGUUGAACUACACGUUUAGAUAGCUUAUAAUAUAUCUUCAACUUUUAAAAUGGUAUCCAUCUGAUUUAUUUUAUUUACAAUCUUCCAUUUCAACUUGUUUUUUUUUAAUAAACUCAGAUGGUUUAAUACCUCUGCAUCUUACAUUGCUGAAGGAUUAAUUAUUUCUGAAGUGUAGAUAAAACAUAGAAUCUAAUUUGGAUGGAUGUGGUGUUUAUAGGGUUUAUUUUUAAAAAAUUGAAGCUUGUUUGUAAAUAAUUUAAGUUUUAGUUUUUAGUUUUUGAAAUUUAGCAUAUAAAUACUGGGUUUAGAUCUUGUUUUCUUAUCUACCUUUUAUUAAUGGUUUAAAGAACAAAGACUCAAAAGAAGUAAAUUAAGUUUUUUUUAAAAACAAAAUUGACUAAAAAAUCAACUUACAUUAGAAAAAUGCAAAUAAUUUGUAAGAAAUUAAGAGAAAAUAAAUAAUUUUCAAUAGCUAAAAGCUAAAAAACAAAAUGGUUGCUGAACAAUUAAAAAUCAAUAACCUAGUAAUUAUGGAACGGUUAUGAAAAGAGAAAUUAAUUAAUAAUCCAUGUUGUUGGUGUUGGUGCAGAAAUGGAAGUCCUCCUGGUGUAUUUAACACAGACAAUCCAGCUUCGAGCAUAGGCAGCACAACGGGGUUUGGAACUGAGAUUCCUCCAAGCUCAAGCACCUCAAUAUCCGUAGCGGCUGGAUUGAGACCCUUUACUUGCUUCAUCAUUCUCACCAUGUCCUUCAUCACUCAUAGAAUAAUCACUCUGGACUGGUGAUGAAAUGAAAUCACUAACUUCUUCUCCUUCUACUGUACAUGAAAAGGCCCUCGUUAUUCAUAGCUUCAGAAUCGUCGCCCAGUUCCACCAUUAGUGCAAUUUUUGGAGGAGAAAAAGGAACCAGAGGUGAGUUUGAGUUUGGAAGGAUAAACCACUGCCACUGCCCUGCUUGAGCUUUUGUUUGUGUAAAGAUCAAAGAUAGGGAUGUAUUAGUAUUAGCUACUUCCAAUUUGAGACUCUGUAAUAUAAUAUAAUGUUUGUUAGAUUUUGGGAUUUGUAUUGCUGUUGAUCACAGUUUAUUAAGAUUAAAAUUUUAGUUAGAAGAAACAGAGACACAUAGCUGGACUUGGAAGUACUUCUGUUCCUAUGUUUAAGUCUUGAAUGUUUUGUAUGGUUUAAUGAUUAAUUUAUUGUUUAUUUACGUAUGACUUGGCAAUUGCAUGAUGAGCUGUUGCUGAAUUUUUGUUUGAAAUUAUAUGGGUUAACUUGAUCCUCUCCAUCCAGUAAACACAACAGUACUUGGAACUUGGAUGGAAGAUUAGAAAGACCAAAGACUUAAGCAUUAAGCAUCAAUGUGAGUACACUUGAAUUGAAUCUUAGACUAAAGUUCCUGGACGUUACUAGUUGGGGAACAAUCUUAGAACAAAAUAGUGCGACUGCUGAUGUGAGAUCUACUCAUUUGAGGUGUCUAACUUGCAAAUAAAAUGUUACACACAGUUUUGUUGUUAGAAAUGAGGUGGAAAGAUUUCCGCUUAUCAUUAAAGAAACAUUUAAAAGCUGUUUGGAUCUUUACAGUACAUCUAGAAGUAAUUCCAAAUAUUGCAAUCAAACUCAAAUUAUUUGUAACGAGCAAUUUGCGUAUAUGGUAAAAUUUAAAUUUAGUUCUCAAAAUCUAAUAAUUUGCAUAUAUGAUAAAAUUUAAAUCUAGUUCUCAAAUCUAUAGAUGAUAGAUCAUGACAUUGCUAGGAGCUCAUCAAUAAUGAACAAUAUCAUUUGGGUUUGGUUCAAGAAGUUUGGAAAUAGAAGCUAUGAACUAUACUUUUUUAGUAGGUUCCACUACUAAAAGACAUAAACUUUACUCAUUGCUAUUCCACUUUUUUUUCUGCUACUAAUACAAUUAUUCAGGUUAAGGAGUGAGAAUUGAGGUGUAGAGUUGAUACUUAUGAAAAGUAGAUUAAGAAAGUAAAUGCAGUUACGUAAUACAGUAAAAGAUGAGUUUUAUUAAUAAAUGUAAAAGAGUAUAAAAAAUGAAUAUACAAGUUCAACAGUGUUUCUCAAAAUGUACUUCUGUCUUAAAAAUGAGAAUGAAGGAGAGAUCGUUGAUGAUUUGGAAGCAGAAAGUUGGGAACUUAGUCGGCCAUGCAGACAUGUUAGAACAAUGAUUGGAAAGUGACAUUUGGUGGAUUAAUUUAGUUAAAAGCAAUAUUUACCACAAUUUCAAUAAUUGUGGCCACUAAUGUUUCUCCAAUAUCAAUACUCAAAUCUCAAGGGUUUGGAGUCUCUUACUACUCAAGAGGUCUUCAAAAUCUUGAGCAAGUUUAAUACCAACAACUCUUGAUAUCUUUCAGAUUUGUUGUGCUUCAGCCUUCAAGUAUAUGGAAGCAAACUAAAAAAAAUAAUCCCAAGGAAUAGAGAUAGGUAGAGAAACAAAAGUAGCCGUUGCCACCAACUUCAAGAAUUGGAAUUGGAUUCCAAAGCAGUAACUUAACAACCCAUUUAUUAACUUGCAAUCAUUUGAUUACCUAUUUCACCUAACCACCACUUGAGAUUUAUCAAACUUUUCUAUAUCUGCCCAUACAGCUCCCACCAUCUGUUAACAACUAUAUCCAAAAUGGAAUGGAAUUAAACAAAAUUGCAGAAGACAACGCAAACAUUUUAUCUACUUUACCAUUUGAAUCUAAAAGAAAAAUAAAUUCUUCACAUGUCAACUCAUAAGGUAUUUCACACAUAAGUUCUUCAAAGAAUACUAAUUUUUUUUAUUGGAAACGUGGUCUUGAUCACGGCAUAUUCCUUCAAGAAGAGUAUUUUGCCUCCUCCUUUCCUUCUUAAUAUCAAAAGAAAUGCUUUUUGAGUACCUGAAGUAUUUAUGAACACUUUUUCCACAUAUAGCCAAAUAUCAAAUUAUGGCUUUGAUUAACAAAAAAUAUACCCUCAGCAUAAUGCAAAGUAAAAUAAACCCUGCUAGAAAAGAAUGAAAAAAAUGGAUAACUCAAAGCACUAUUCCAACAAUAUAUUAUCACAGUUCUGAGACAAUGAAAACCACAUUCAGUUCAUUCAAUCACAAUUCUGAGUUAUUUUCUCUACGAGACUAUCACCAAUCUCAGGAAUGAGAAGACACGGUUGACCAAAACUGGGAGAGGGUUUCAGAAAACUAAACGAAUGUUGCAGUAAUAUGCAAAGUAAGAAUGUGGCAAGUACACAGAAUAAUUUGAACUUCAAUUAAUCUACAUUUUUUACACCAUUGCUAGGAGAGGGCCCUUAAAAAGAGAACUCAGAUAAACUCUAGACCACCCCAAAUAUCAAGAAGGAAUAUCUCUAAAAAAAAAAAAAAACUCACAGGCAAUUGUGCUAUCCUCACUACAUGAAUUCCUAAAGAGCCAGGUCAAACCCAGUACAAAAGUAGCUCAAUGAAUUUUCAUACUUUAGAACAAUAUCAUUUAGCAAAAGACCAAGGAAACCAUGAUUUGAUCAAUUCUUGGCUCUGUAUCAUGAAAAGGGGCUAUUUUGUGGUAUUAACAGUUCCUCCAAUAUGAUCAUUUUUCACAUGCUCAACUUCACCAUUCUCAUUCUUCUCCUUCUCAUUUAAUAAACCAAUGUUGUUGUUACUCUGUAAACGUUCAGCAACCUCAACAUUUUUAUGCCUUGCAGAUUCCUCCAUGGAAGCAGCCGCCUCAUUCUUCACCAUUGACAUCUGUCUCACAAACCCAUUUAAGCUCUCCCUUCUCUGAGUUAAAGCACUACCAGUGUUCAAAGUUGAUACUGCAGGCAUCUCAAAAGCAUUCUCUGCUUUCACCGUAGGACCCAAAGUCCUAUUCCUCUCUUUCUCCUUCACUCCCAAAUUCCCAGAACCUGAAACCUCCACUGAAGCCUCUUCCUUACGCCUAGCUCUUUCUCUAGCCACAACAAAACCGACAUGCUCAAGAGCCUCUCUUGCUCUCUUCCUCGCCAUAGCCGCCUCCCUCACUUUCCUCUCCGCAUCCGCUCGCGCCACAAUCACUGCCUUAGCCAUCGAUGCAGAGGCAAUCUUAGCCGCACAGAGCAACACCACAGCCGUCUUCCUAUCAAUAGACUUAGGUGAAAUUCGAGGCUUUGAGUCGGAAUCGAAAAAUGAAAAAUUGGGCUUGGCGCAGGGAGGGCAGAGAUAAGAGGAGGAGGUAGUGGAGGACAGAAGCUGAGGGUCGGGGCAAGCCGGAUUGACAACGCAAUGAGAAUGCGUAAUAGAAGAACAUUUAGAACAAGUGAAACGAUUGGAGGGAUGAGGAGACACAGAAAGAUCAUAGAACUGGAAGCAAGAAGGGCAAAACGAACUGGGAUGAAGACGAAGGACGCAGGAAGUGCAAAGGCGACGAUUAAUACCUCGUAUACGAACGUGAUGCAGAAUCCAUCGACCUUGAGAGCCGCAAUUUCCACACUCCUUCAGCAUUUUGGUAGGGGGAUUUGGAGUGGAAGGUGGAGGAGGAAGAGGAGGGUGGUUCAUUGAGAGACGUAAUAGAAAGAAGAAAAAAAAAACCGUAAACAAGGUAAAGAAUUGAAGAUGAAAAGAAUGGAAGAAUGAAACAAUCCCAGAAGGGAAUACUGAAUAGAAGAAGGUAUUGAUAGGGUUUCGUUUGAGUUUUGUUUUGGGUUUCAAAAGUUGAAGGAGGGGGAAAGUUGCAGAGAAAUUAAAAUUAGGGUUUGCAAAUUUGCAAUCAACUCACUGUUGGAGAAGACAACCAAAAUACAAUUUUCAAUAUUCUCAUAAUAAUAAAACUAAAUUAUUUAUUUUGAAUUUUAUAAAAGUAAAUAUGGCCAUGUUUUUCUUAAUAUGACUGAGGACUUAUAAAUGGAAAUCGAUAUCUAUCUUCUUCUUGCACCAUAAUUUCAAUAUUUCUUAUAAAGUCAACAAAAUGAAAAGUUGGCAAAGACAAGACAUAAAAUAGAAUCAUGAUUUUAUUUAAUAAACAUGUAUCAUUCUCUUAUUUUCAAAAUAGGACUUAAUAAAAAUAACACUCCCUAGUCUCUACAUCAGAUUAUAUAGACUCACAAAUAAUAGAGUGCUCAAAGCUGUAGAGAAAACUUCGUUGGCCCUAGUUUUGAAUAUCGUCGUGUUCGACAAUAAGAACAUACAAGUACGAUGCAACGUCAGGACAAAUGUGAUCAAACGCAAACAUAGAUAUGUGGUACAAUUUGCAUUUAAUCUAAAUAAGAAUAUUUACAAUUUAUUUUUUAAAAAUCUAAAUAUACACAGUUGUAUAAAUGUUGUGUGAAAAACAAAGUGAACUGCCAUAUUGAUUUUAUGCAAUCAAUCCAUAUCAGUAUAAAUAUGUAUUCUCAAGACAAGUGAAGUGAUACGAUAAACUUUGACAACGGUUUUAGAUUACAAUAAUUAUCCAGUCUCAUUUGCAUGAUGUAGUUGUAAUAACAGAACACAUCACAACUCUAAGGAUAUUGUCUGUGGUAUGAUAUUUGUAUGGAUAUCUCUUCAUCAGACUAACUCACUUGGCCUCAAACAAGAUAGACAUGUCAGUCUAAUAGAGCGAGUAUCGACAAGUUUAAACAAGAAUAUCCACUGGAAUGAGAUUACAAGAACUCGACUUAAGGCAAGAAGGUGUUCCUUGAAGAUACAGCCUCAAAAUGCUGAUACAAAAUGCAACUUGGGAACAGUUUUGCUAUUCAUCAUCGCUAUCGUUCCCAAAAACAGAAGCUACAGGUGCUACUUUCGGUUUCUUUUUGGCUCCACCAAAAAUGUUCUGCAAUAACAUUAAUCAGGAAGAAAUUAGAGAAGAUUUCUCAAAUCCUAUAACUACUAGUCUACUACCAUGAAGAAGACAAAUUUUAUCCUAUGAAGAAAGAUGAAAGCAGAGCAACGCUUGUUAAGUUCCAAACAUUGGAACAUGUGAGCUGGCAAUAAUGCCAAAAUAGUGCUGCUUUGCUUCGAUCCCAUGGGAACCGGGUAUUCAACUGGUCACUUAUUGAAUCCUAAACACUCCAAAAGAUGUACCAGACACUUCAGAAUCAUUACUCAUCAUUAUGAUUCAGACCUUUGAAAGGUCUCGUUUCCUCUUCAGAGGAAAAAAAAACUCUUCAGUUACUUUAGCUUACCUUUGAGGUGCCACCUUUAGAAGAGAAUCCAAAUUUCAAUGUUUUCCGCUGAUCCUGAUCUGCAACUGAUGUAGCGUUUCUAAGUUCAGUAGAAACAGGAGCCUCGGCUGCCCUUGCUUGUUGCUCCAACAACUGCUGCUGCUUCUUACGGGCAUCUGCACUAUUUUAACAGGAAAUAAUAUAUAAAUACAACCACACGAAAUGAAAAUAUAAAGAAAAACUGAAAAUGGGAAUCACAAAAGAUCAUUUUGGAAAAAGAAAGGUGAAGAAGAAAAAAAGAGAGAUACAUUUGAGCAAAUUUGGCCAUCUCUCUCUCUUCCCGUUGCUGUUCCCGUUUGUUUCUGUCAUCCCGGCUGCUUGAACCAUGCAUUUCUCUCAUUUCUUUAAAACGCUGCAAUCCCAUGCAACAAUGCUUUAGAUUCAAUGGACAUCCAAAGAAAGGGAGGAGAAUGAUGAUUUUCUUACAAGAAAACUCUUAAUUUCCUACCUUUCUGUGAUUAUGAUCAUAUGAGCUGAGAUGGGCUUCAAACUCCAUUGCCAGUUUGUACUGUUUGUUGCAAAGAUCACAAUAGAAAACCUUGCGUAUUUCUUUGACCUCAGUUUGAAUUUUCUCCUCACGUUCUGCUAAAACCUGGAUUUUCAUAAUGUGCACGAAGCGGGCAGUAGAAGCCACCAGGUAAUAAAAACUGCAGGAAAAUCUGAAGACCUUCCAAAGUUGAUGGUCCCCUAUGAUAUACCAUUCCCGCUAAAAGACAUGCAUAUAUGCUAUAUGCUACCUUCUGCUAUUUGAUAUGAGUUUCAGAAAGAGGAAAGCAUCAACCUCAAAGUCUUAGCUAAUAAUUAUUCAUUUUUCCCAACCAAUUGUAUGAUAAAAAUAACAUACCUCCCGUUUUUUGGCAUGUUCUUCUGUCUCCUCCACCUCAACAUCAAGCUUUUUCCGCUGGAUAUUUUCUUCUGCAGUGAAAAAAUCGUCUUCUUCUUGUUUUCCAAUUCCGAGUUUGGGAUCUCUCAUUCCAGAUUUUAUUGGCUCAAUAAUUCCUACACAAACCACCACAAGUUCCUAUUAUUUUCAUAAUGUUAGACAAACAAGUGCCAAUUAUGGAUUAAUUAUGGAUGUACAAACAGAAAAAUAUAUUUUAAAAGAGGAAUGAUCGAAAAGAUUUUGGAACCAUAAGAAAACUUUUUCUUUUUAUAUUUUUAUUUAAGUUGUAUUUCUGCUUUUAUAUUAAAAAAACUGUUUUCAAAUGGGAAACUUUAAACAUGCUCAUGUAUCUUAGAACACUGGAGUUUUAGAGGAUUCUUCCCUUUAUUAUACUCGGUUGACACUGAGCAUGGGCAGUCAUUAAACUCAUACUUGACGUGAUUACAUUAAUUUCAAAAAACAAGGAACACAAGUUCCAACUAAAAAAUAGAUGUUCUCCUUGCGUUAAAAAUCUGGUGUGCAAUUUCAUACAAACUCAGAAGAAAAAUAUAAAUCAAGCAACAGAGUAAUUCUGUUCCCAGAAUUCAAGGGUACAGUAGUAAUACAUCCUAUAGAGAAAAUCUGGUUCAAAUAUGGCGAUGGGAGUAAUUUAGUUAUGAAAUACAAGUAACAGAGGAAAGACAAGUAAUUAAAAGAUUGUAAAAUAGAGCGACCAGAAAUUGAUUUAGAGAAUUGAACUUUAUCUUCUUGCCAUAUCAAGUAGCAAUACCAUAUGAGUCAUAUCGUGUUCAGAAUGAAAUAUAAAAAAAACGGAUGACAUUUGCAUGCAAAGUCUUUGAGGGAAAGCAAUGAGUAGACCACUAAAAACUUACUGAACCUAAGGUUCAUGAGAAAGAUUAUAGAAAAUAAUACACUAAGAGGCAGAUUAUACAACGAAUGAGCAAAGCAGAAUUUCAUAUCCAGAAAAGCAGAAUACCUUGCUCAUUCUUCCCUAGUCCUUUCCCUUUCCAGCCCAUCUUCUGAAGAAGCCUAUAUCCCACAUUUGAUGACGUUAAUUGUGUGUCCAAUGAUGCUUGUUCCACAUUAUCAAGAUCAACGUUUUCUGUUGGUUUAUGGUUGAUGGGCAAGCGAAAAUCAUCUAUAAAGUCAUCACCAAGAGAUUCCUAAUAUUCCCACAAAAGAAAGAAAUAAGUGAAAUAUUAGAUAUCACAAAAUCCAAAAUUCCUUUUUUUUUUUUUUUAUAGAAAAACCAAAUGGAUUUAAAAAUAAAAUGGAGUUCAGUAAGUCAGAGAGUUAGACGUAUGUCGAACGUUUCCAGUUUGACAUGAUCACUCAGUCAUACCUGCUCCCGAGCAUAGCCUUUACUUGGGUUGCUUGUUUCCAGUCUACUACUGAAACCUCGAUAAUCCAUUUUGUAUUGCCUAUAUCAUAAAGUUAGGUAAAACCAUUACAUUACAAAUAGAAAUUUCAAGCACAAGAACAAUAAGUUAGAAAGUUCCAUGUCAAGUCCACUUCUAUUAACCGAAAGCACCAAAGUGUAGUUUCAACAGAGGACUUCACAAAAAAUUUAACCACGAAAAAGAAAAAGCUCAUCAAUUUUAUCAAUGGAUUUCAAAAUAUUCAUCAUGCGCUGACCCAGUAGCUAAAUGAACAACUCAUGGUUGUUAUAUCCCAGGAACACCAAAAUUGUAGCACUUGCAAGUUGCGAGUAAAAUAGAUGGUGAAAAGAAUUGUUCUUUUUGGAUAUUUCAUUAUGCGGUUGCUUUCAAAGUUAACAUUCAGCACAACUCUGAGCUUUAUUAAAUAAAUCUGAAGAUUUGAAGGUUUUGUCAAGAAAAUAACCUCCGAAAGCAGAAGGAUUGUAGAGUUUGGGAAAUUUGGUCUUCCACUUCCUAGUGGAUCCUUAAUUUCCCUAAUUCCCUCCUACAUAACCACAGUUUCAUAAUGAGGGAAUAUACAUACAAAAAAGCAGCCAACAACAAGAUACCCAUGAUCAUAAAUAACAGCAUAAAGAGGCGGAAGUAAAAUUGCAACUACCCUAAGAAGGAGGAAUCCGAAGUUAACAAUUUAGCUAAAAAGAAUGCCAUGGAAAUUGGUAAAAGUAAAGUAAUUGAUUGAGUAGAAAAGCAAUGAAAUUCGAGAGCCAAAACAAAGUAGAGAAGAAAUAGCGAGGGCUACAAAGAAAGGAAAAAUGGAGGGAAUUGUAUGUGGGAAAGAAAGUACCUGAAUUUGAGAGAAAUUAGGUCAAAGAAGAUGGAAACUUGGUUGUUUCAACGAGAACCUUGAGAAGCUGCGUUGCGAUGCGACGGACCUCGUGUGAAAAUGGCAACAAUGUCGACGCCAGCGGCUGAAUUACUUUUUAAACCAAAAAUGAAAAUGUUAAUUGGGCCCAACCCCGUGGCCUUCCAGCCCAGCAUCCAUAGGCCCAAAAUAUUAGGGGUGGAUUUGCUUAUUUAUUGUAUUUUUUAUUCAUUUUUUUUAAAAAAUAACCGUUAAUUUUUCAUUUAUCAAAUGACAAGUUGUGUAUUGCUAUUCUUAUGGUUGAUAGAGAUAAAAAGUUUUCAACUUAUAGGACGACUAUAAUAACUAAUCAAAGUGUACCAACACCUUCCUACAAGAUCCAACGGAAAAUUUAAAUAAAAAGAAACAUUUAGAUAAAUGAUAAAGGUUUAGUUUUGUAACACUCCAAUAGCUUUAUCUCACUAAUAAAAUUAAAGAAAAUGAGAGAAAAAUAAACUUUUGGGUAUUUAAAAAUUAAAGUUAAAAAAAUAGACGAUUAAUUGAUUAUCGGAAGUUCAUCGAUGGAGUCACUAAAGGUUGGUGGAUCAAAGAUUGGCGAGUGACGAUUUGUCCAAGAGUUGGUCGACGAACUUGCCAACCCUUGAAACAAAUAGUAUGGAGUAGAAGAAUAGUAAAAGCAUAUGAAUUAUUUUAAAUACUUCUAAUCUUAAUCACCAAACUAAUACUAAACAUUAUUCCAAUGGAGUUGACGAUUAUAAGAUUACAAUUUCUUUUAGGAAACUAUUUCACUACAAGCUGUUAUAUAUUUUUAACAUUACAUCAUUAAACUACAAUCUUGACAUCAACAAACACACAUAUUUCUCCCAAGAAUACACAGUCAUCUUGUUGAUCCAUUUUCAACGUCAAUAAACAACACAAAUAAUAUAUUAUUAAUUUGAUGUGUUAAUUUUUCUAGGUUAAACAGUCACAAAGAAUCCUGCCAAUUAAAGCCUAAAACAUUAUUUAAAUGUGUUGAAUCAAUUCUCAUUAAAGAAUAAAUUGAAAAUACACUAAGAAACUACUGAAAACGAUGUUAAAAAAUACGACAUAUUAUAAGUACUUUGAAGGUUCAAACUUACUAAAUAAUUUAUUAGAAUCACUUUCCUUUCUACUAUUUCAAACAUACAGAGAUUGAAAGAUAUUAGAAUUAUUAAUUAUUAAUUUUGUAGUUAUUGUAUUCAACAAGUAACUAAUUCAAGCAUAUCUAAUUAAAUUAGUAGGAUGGAAUAAUAUGUGUGAUUAAAUAUUAAAAUGUGGAUACAUUUUUCCACCAAAACUUUAAUUUCAAUAUAAUCUUUAUUAAGUAUAUGUUAAUGGUUAAUGACCAAACAUACUUUUUCCUUUGGGGAUUAACCAUUCACAAAAUGCUUCGUAGCUAGCUAUAAAAUAAAUUAAUAAAUAUGUGGAAAUGGUUGGAGUUUUUAUGAGGAAAUUAAAAUGGUGUAGUCAAAGAAAGGAGACUUAAUGUCCCCACAUAUUAAUAUUAUUAGUCAAUCCAUAACUAAAAAGUAUUUAGCAUUUCUGUUAUGUAUCGAUCACACUUAAUUAAAUAAUAUAUAUAUACAUGUGUGUGAUUUUGAUUACCACGACGAUACUCUAAAACAUUAUUGGUUUUUUAUGCUUAAAUAAGAGAAUAUUUAUAAGUGUUAGAAAUGCGAAUAUAUUCUUCACAUACUUAAAGAAGGAAGUGAACAUAAGCAUAUAAGUAAGAAUAGUAAUCUUCAUUUCGUAUGAGGUUUAAAACCAAAAGUUGGUAAAAGAAUGACCGGGUUUUUUCGUGGUAGAAAGAGGAACCAUAGUUAUUUCAUGUAUCUCUUUGGGCUUUGGUUUCGAAGACCGAGUCCCUUUUUAUAGGUGGGGUGCUUUGUUGGGCUGGAGUUUUUUCUUUCUUUCUUUCAUGUCAUUGUAUUCUUUCGUUCUUUUUCAAUGAAAGUUGUUAUUUCUAUGAAAUAAAAAAUAAAAAAACAAAAGUUGGUAAAAACUUUCUACUAUAUUAUCAUAUGAAUAGGCAGAAAAACUUGUACACUUAAAAGAGAUAAUUACCUAAUUUUCUUUAUUGUUUUUGCACUAUCAUAUGUGAAAUCCAUUAGUCCUUUCAUGUGAGAAUCUUAGUAAUUAUCUAGGACUAUUUGAGAUGUACUAUUCAUGUUGUGUGUUACGUUGAAUAAAUUGUAUUGGUGAUGAUAGGGGUUGGAUGUUUCCAUUAGAUUACUGAGACCUAUAUCGUCAGUGUUGUGUUCUUGGAAGGAGAAUGAUGGUAUGCUUGUCAUCCUAAAGUUCUUGUGGACCUUCUAACGAUAGACCUACUUCAGGAAUGAGAUUCCUAAUAUUAUAUCCCUAGGAGCAUUUGGGCAGAGAGUCGAGAGAUUUGCACAGUAUGUUUGGCUUCCUCACCUCUCCCUAUCCACUCUUUAAUCAUUUCUCAUCUCCAUCGCUAUAAUUACCUGGUUGUCAGGUACAUUGAAAAUUAGAUGUGAAUAUGUGACAUGAUCAUACAAAAAUAGCAGAGAAGAAGCUCAUGGUUGGAUUGUUUGUGAUCAUUAAGCGAUUAAGCAAAAGUAGAGAGAGUUGAAUUCACCUUAAGAGGUUGAUUGAUCUAACUCGAUGGAUAUUAUCAAUGUCAUUAAUGCAUGAGAUGAUGGAUUCCUUCCUUUAUGUAAUAUAUUGAGUGAGAGGGACAUUAUUUUUAUGACAAUUUUGUUAAUGCUACGUGCUUUUGUCAUAUCUUUCUCGAGAGGAGAACAAAGUUGUCGAUGCUUUUAUGACUUUGACAUCUUUUAGUAUAUUUCUUUGAUUUAUAAGUAUAAUUUUCCAAAGAGUAUCCUCCCUAUCCUUCACUCUGGGGAGGGAAGAGUUGUAAGUCUCUCUUAUUGUUUAUGUUUACCUAAACGAAAAAAAGUCCCCAAUGUUAUUUUAGUCAAACCUCACACAUAAGUUUCAAUUGUUACAAGUCAUUAUUAUAUUUAAACACUUGAAAUGACAAGAUAAGUUGUAUUCUAUUUAGUUGUUUUUAACAAUAUACAAGAUAAUUGAAGAAUCAAUUCUCGAAUUUAAUAAUACAAAAUUAUACGUUAAUUGAAUUAUACUCACGUGGGUUGUUUUUCUAUUGAAUGGAUGACUUUGUAUUAGAUUUUAUGGUUGUUUAAGUACUAAAAGUGGGAGAAAAGGAAAAGCCUUUGAAAUAAUGGAGUAAAAUUUGAUUAAAAUAUAUGAUUGAGAAAGUUUAACCAAACUUAACGAUCAACUUGAAACUAGAACGGUUGAAGUCAAAUUAUACAACACUAAAAAUUAAAUGAUAUUAAUGAAAAAGUAUUUUCUUUUGGAUAAAAGUGCUUUAAGAAUAAUGCACUACCUUGAGUAAAGAUAAAAUUUGAAUGUCCCUUCCAUUCCAAUUUGAUAUAUAUUCAUGAUUUUCUAUAUAAAUAAGUUGUCUUAUAAUUAAAAUAAAAAUGUUCAAAUUCCAUUUAAAAGAUGCAAGCUUUAUUUUAAACGUGUUAAAAAAAGGAGGGUGGUGUUGUGAUUUUAAAGUUUAUGAUUUGACUUAAAGAUAAGAAUGGAUGAAUAUAGAACAUGAAAGAAUGGUAACAAUUAUCGUAUGGAUACUUUAUACUAUGAAAAAUCAAUAUAUCUAUUAUGAGAAUAAUUGUAAAAAACAUUUAAAGACUUGUGUUAUGAGAGGAAAAAAUAAAAAUGCGGUGAACGUGGAUCGAACACGUGACCUUCAGAUCUUCAGUCUGACGCUCUCCCAACUGAGCUAUCCCCACAUGUUGAAAAAAAAUAGCAAACUAAACUACAAAUAAAAAAAUAAUGUUUUUUUUUUGGGUAAGGUUUAGAAACUUUUCUUUUCUUUUUCAUGGUUAAUUAAGAAAACUUUUCGAAAGAUACUAAUAAGCUGAAGUUGAUAAGUAUUUUUUUUUUCUUUGUUAACCAUGUGUUUUGUAUUUGUAGAAGAGUUGGAGAGAAGGAGACACGUUUAGAAUAAAGUUUUCUAUUUUUAAAGUUUUACUUAUCGAUGAAUUUGAGAAACACAGUCACACAUGUUUUCUAAUUAGGCAUCAUUCGUUUCAUCUAGAAAUGAAGAAGUAUCGGUAGAUUCACCUUCAUCCUUAAUUGUAUCCAUCUCGAUCGAAAAAUAGAAACUUAAGAUUGAUAUCCAACCUUAAAAUAUAGGAGCCAACUCUAAUAUCAGUAUAUUGUAAGAUGAUAAAUUAUAUAAUACAUAACAACACAAGUCACACACGAAGUAGUGAUUAACAAUAUGAGUGAAGGUGACAAACUAAGCAUUGAACAUAAAUGAAAGACACACAAUCGGUAACCGAUAAUUUAUAUUGUUUCAAAGUAAGAUCCUCAACAUGUUAUUAUCAAGAUAAUACAUUUUUUGAGUUUAUCAUUAUUCUUGGAUCGAAUCCUUUUUUAUUAUUAUUAGUAUUGUUUGACUGGAAGUUUUGAUUCGGAUCGAAAGUUAGUUUUGGUUAAUUGAAUGUUUGAAUAAAGAAAAGCUUUUGUUUUGAAAACUCUUUUUAACUUAAAAAGAAAGAAUCUAACUGAAAAACAUUUGAAUUUUUCUAAAAGCUUUAACACAGUUAUUCUUGUUUACCAUGUUUUAAAACUAAUUUAAAAUCAACUUCAAAAUUAAGCUAAUUGUAAUGCCAUUGCCUAAUUACUAGUUAAUAAGUAUUUUGAUGUAUUCAUUAUAUUAUCUUAUAUUUUGGUUAAUUUCAUUAUAGUAUGUAUAUUAAUAUAAUAAAUAGAGUGAAUUGGUAAAUUAAGAAUGAUAUAUAAUAUUAACAUGUGUUAGAGAGUUAAUGUAAAGAAAUGAAUGAUAUUAACUUGUGAUCUCUUCUAACUAUUGAGGGGUACAUUUAACUAACAAUAUUCACCCUUUUCAACAGUUUGAAAAAGGUACAAAUAAUAAUAAUAAUUUUUAAAAAAAGAGUGAAAAAGAAUGAAUAUUAAUUAGAAUAUUAUUUAUACUAUGAAUACUUUUCUGUGGUUUUAGUUCAGUGGUUGCAUUUUUAAGCCACACAGUUCCUUUUUAAUUAAUGGGGAAAAUGAAGAAGGAAGAGGGAAUCCACUUUUUAUUUUGUUUCUUUUAAUUUUUAGUUUCAAAUUAAUUCAAAAGCUCCCAUCAUUUACCUACAACUGAAUAAUAAUGCAUUGAACACAAAAUAUUCAAAAGUUAAGAAAAGCCCCCUAAUGCUUAAUUAUUUGUAAAAUCCUUUUUCUUUUCUCCACCAAAUUAUAUUCCCUCUUCUUUUCUUUUCUUUUAGGGUUUGUUUGGGGUUUCAAUGGCUGACAGCUAGGGUAGAGGUAGAUAGAUAGAUAGAUGUUUAAUCAAAGGGGGAGGGUAUAUGAAGUAUGAAGCAGUUUCCCCUAUUUUACAAACUGUUUGGAAAUGGGGAGGUACAUGUGGAUAUAUAUGUGGGGGUAAGAAUUUAUUCAUCCCCAUCUCUCUCACUUCUAUAUCAUCGAAUCUACUCAACUUUUUUCCUUUUUUUCUUUUCUUAUGUUUAACUACUUCCAUGAAACUACCCCCAAAUCCAACCUAACACUCUUUUAAACACUAUCAAUUUUUUUUUCUUUCAAAUCUUCUAUUGUUUAUAAUUGAUGUAUUGUCUCAAAGUUGGUUUAAAAUAUCUAAUUAGAUGUUGAUGUAAUUUUCUUGUCUAAAUAGUAACUAGUUGAAGAUUUGAAAAAUGAAAAGCCGUAAAUUUGUAGAUGAAAAGAUAAGUAGGACGUUAAAAUGGGUUUUGGAAAAUUGAUGUCUACAAGUUAAGUGGAAGACCGUAGGAAAGUUCAAGAAGUCAAUCAAUGGAAAUUUCUUCUUUGCCUUUUUUCUAACUCACAUUGAAGCUAAGCUUAGAUCCCCUAUGACUCCGACACACCGCCAUGUUUUCUUCAAAUGCAAUAAAACUAAAAAGUAUAAAAAGAAUCAAUAAACAUCUAGAUUUGAUGAAUUUGUGUGUAUGCAAACAACACAGCCACCACACACUACAAAACAGUACAGCUGUUGCAUCCUUAAUGAAUUGCUAUGUACUUGGGUUCUUACAUAUAUUAAAAAAAUAGCUUCUUUAUGUUAUAUACAUGUUCGUUAUCCACACACUAAUUUAAGAUUUUACAUAUUGAUUUAUUUUUCAUAUUUGUAAAUAGUUGUAGGGUAUGGUAAAUUUGUUAUUAUUUUGUAUUAGAUUAUGGUAUAUGCAAAUGGGUGGAAAAUUCUAAAGAAAGAAAAAGGAAUUUUGAAAAAAGAAAUUGUUAGUUUAAAAUGAAAGCCAAAGGCCGCGUUGAAUUUGAUUAGAGUCUUUAUAAUUUUUGUUUAAAUCAAAUCAAGUUGAUUAAGUAAGUUUUAAAGGGAAAAAUAGAGAGAGAUUCUUGUAAGCAACGCGUGAGAAAAUAUAAAGAAUUACAAAAUUAGAAUAAGUUCAUAAUAUAAAAUGUUGAAAAAGAGGGAAAAUAAUGAGUUUGUGUGUGGAGUUAGGAUUAUUGUUGAAAGACUAGAGGGAACAGUAAGUUGGAAUUCCAAGUCUUUGCAAAGGGAUUCCUUUGGUCAAUAAUUUUGCCCUAAUUGAAUGCAAGAAAAAGUGUGUAUGUAAUUUCUUUAAACUCUCAAUAAUUUAACUUAAAAGAAAAGAGUAAUUCGAAACUUCCUUACAUUCUAUUUAAUUAUUCAAUCAUAAUUUAUCCUAUAUAUUUAAAAGGUAGAAAAGAAAAAGCAUCUCACUCCUACCGCCGUGAGAAUAACUAAAAUUUACUUAAGAAAUUAAAAUUCACAGCCCACAAAAAUAAAUUUACGGUCAAACACAAACACAAUUAUCUCUUUUUGAUCCCAAUUACAUAAAAAAAACAAAUAUUUUUUAAAGCUUUUAUACUAUUCAUACUCUUUUCUCCCUUCUCAAAUCAAAACUCAUCACUUAACAUGAAAUUAUUGCAACUUUUCUAAUAUUUUGCACCAAAAUUAGCUCUUUUUUCUUCCCUAAUUUGGUUAAUUGGGUGAGCUCUAAAAAGAUAAUAAUUAAUUUUAUUUUGAGAAGGAAAAAAGAAAAGGAAGAAAAGAAGAUAAUAUAAUAAUAUAAUAAUAGUUAUUAGGGGUUUAAUUUUACUUUUUACAUUAAGAUUCUUUGAGUUUUCAUAAGUUAGUGAUUUGAAUUGAUCUGACCACCUUUUUGAAGUGCUAUAAAAGGGAGGACCCCCAACCCAACCUCACCACAGUUCAAAACCCAACAAAAUUUAAACACACACAAAAGAGAAGAGAGUUUUUGGGUGUGAAGAAAACAAAAAAGAGAGUUUUUAUAUAUACUUUUUCAUAGAAAAUUAAAUUAGCAGCAGCAGCAGCAGCAGAGAGAGAUAUUAAUAUGGGAGGAAACAGGCAGAAGAAAUCUCACAACUCCUCCUUUUCCUUCUUGGGGCUCUUCAAAUCAAAAAGAUCAGUUAGAAAAGGAGAUCAUUAUUAUGAUCAUCAGCAGCAAGGCAACAGCUGGGAGGACUUCUCUUGCCCUAGCAAGGUGUGGCCAAGCGACGCCGAUAAGUGCCACCGAUGGGUGGCCGAGCCUGGCAUCGACCGAAAAGCCAAAGAUUACAUUGACAGGAUUCAUCGUAACCGCGUCUUCGAAACACCACGCCAAACCGUCACCCUUCCUCCCGAGUCCCGAUCAUAGGAUUCCCACCUGACGAUUUAACACUUCUUCUUCUUCUUCUUCUUCCUCAUUUACAUUUCUGUAUAUCUUUCUUUCUUUAUUAUUUUCUUCUCCCCCUCUCAUUAAAUGAGUCCUAGCUAUUGUAAUUCCCUUCUGAUCAACUUUGCUCAUCAUCACUUUUCCUUCUUCAUCUAAUAAUAAUAUAUUAUACAUUUUAUUCACCCAUAUCAUUUUUCCCUACAUUAGUUAGGUUUAAUUAAUAAUUUCAACAUCCUUUGUUAAUCUAGUUAAGUGAAGAUCUUCAAAAACAGCCCUCCAUUAGGCCAUAUCUCAUUUGAAACUUAAUUCAAUUUUCAAUAUUACAUUAAUCAUUAAACACACUUUUAAUUAUUUCGUUUUUCAUUAAUUAAUUAUAAAUAUUAUUAUCUAAAUACUACAUCCUGUACGUACAUUUCAAGUACAUCUACUUUCGUUAAUUAUUAUCUUAUCCAUCCACUUUUUACUUUAUUUUACUUUGGAUUAAAACAAAAACUACUUAUUUUUACUUUUAAUCGUAUUUAAAUUAUAGAUUCGAAAAUAGUCCAAUAACCCAUAACGUAGAGAUAAAAAGUAGAAGAAAUAAAUAAAUACGUUUUUGCAUGUGUAUUAAAGGUUUGAUAUUGUGUAGAUAAACCCAAGAUCAAUAAUUUUAUAAUUCCAAAAAAUGGAAGUAAUAAGAAUUUGAAAAUAGAAAUAAGAAGAAGGGAAAUCCAUUUAUCAAUCAAAGGGAUGUUUUGAUGAUGGAUAGGUUCAAUCAUGAAAAGGAGAAUUAUGGAAUUAUUUGAAUUAUUAUUAUUAUUAUUUGAAAUGGUAAAGAAAAUGGAAAAUAGUAAUUUUGGAAUAAUGUAACUAUAGUUAGGGGUUUGAAAUUAAAAACCCUAUACCAAUUUUAUCUCAGUUUUGUCUGAGUUUGAUGUAUAGACAAACCAUGUUAUGCUCUGCCAAUUUUAUUCUCUAUGUACUUGAAUGGACCAAUGUUAAUUAUAACAUUUUUAUUACAAUUGUUUUUUCUUUCUUUUGAACAAAGUAAAAAAGGCAAGAUGCUUUCCCUUAAAUUUAUUUAUUUUUUCAGUGUACAUUUGCUUUGGUUUUAAAUAAAAUUAGGCAUUACUUUACAUAUUAUAUACAUAUACUUUUUGUCGUCUAGUGCUUUUCUUCUUUUUUGGUUCAUCAUAUUACAGCUUUCAAAACGCAGUACGAAGGAAAUUCCAACCCAAAAGAGAAAAAAGAAAGAAAAUGGUAAAGGAGUAAAUAGUUAACCAUUGGCACCAUUUUUUCUUGUUGUUUAUGGCAAAAGUAAAGGUUUCUUUUAACUAAUUAGGCCCUGCUUUUGAAUUCUUUUUUUAAAAUUUUCAGUCACCAAAAUGAAGAAUUUAGGAAAGUGUAUUUAUAACUAAAGGAAUUAAGGUCUUUUAUGUGAGCUAGGAAAAACCUAAAAGAAAAGGGCAUUUUGAUAAUGCAAAAGAAGUGAAGAAGAUUGAUACAACAAAAGUUUUUUAUUUUUGUUUAUGAGAAGUGAUUGUUUUAGGCCUUCCAAAUCCACUCUUUUUUGUCUCCAUAAUGAAGUUGGGUUAGAAUUAAUUUAGAAAGUGAAUAAGCAUCAUAUUAAUAGGAAACUUUUGUAAGCUUUUCUUUUCUCAAUGGAUGACUAAAAGUUUGAGAUUUGUAAUGAGUUUUUUUCUUCUUCUCAAUUUUUAAAAGCAAUCUAGGAGGGAAACCAUUAAUUUGUCAUCAUCGUAGUGUAGUAAUUAUAAGAAUGUCUUAAAAAAUGGGCUAACACAGCUUUAGAAAUCUUAGGCAUGGAUGUUACGAGUAGAAUGCAAAAAUGUAGGCAUGGAUGUUAAUUUGGGGUUUAGUUUUUGUUUGUCAUUUAAGCUUCAAUAUGAUUUUGAUUUAGGUUAUUCCAUAGAAUUGAAAAGGUAACCAUUGAAGGCUUACACUUUUCAAAAUAUUAAUUUUGAAGUCUUUAUUGUUAAUGUGAAAUAAUCAUAUUUAAAAGAAGUAAAAGAAGUAAAAGAAUAAAAGAGAAAAGAAAAAAGGGUUUGCAUUGUUUUUGAGGGGCUCCAGUGCAAGUGCCCUGCUAUGUGUCCCCAAAAUGAAGGAGAGAGAGGAGCUGUGCAUUGUUCAGUAGUACUUUCACAGAAUAUAAUCUUGAUUACACCAUUAUAUUCAAUUUUAAUAUACUACUUGUGUCCAAGAUAAUUAUGUUUAAUUAAAAGCACAUAAUUAACGAAGCAAAGCCCCAACAAAGAAUAAUUUUCACCUUUUUUUUCUAUAAAAAAAAAAAUUUUAAAAGAUAUUUAAAUUAAGAUUUUAUUGCAUUGAAGAGGCAAGACAAUCAUAUAUAGUGGAAAAAUGUGUUGCUUUUAUUUAACUUAUAAUACCCUAAAAGGAAUUAAGCAAAGAGAUUCUUUGUAAAAAUAUCUUAAAGCUUUAGUUAUUGGCAGCUAAUUGUUUGGUGUUUAUUAAUUAAGAAUUUGAGAAGUUGAAGAAGAAGCAACCAAAACCAACCAUUGUUUUUAAUUAUAUAUAUAUAUAUAUAUAUAUAUAUAUAUAUAUAUUUUAAUAAAGUAAAAUAAAAUACAAAAUUUGAAGUUGUUGGCAUUUUGUUGUGUCUCAAACUUUGGACGCAACAUCCCCCCUUUGAUGUCUUCUCUGCUAAAGCACUCAGUCAAGCAGUCUAUGCAGACAGAAUUUUCCUUUCAUUCCUUUUCAUAGUUAUCCAAAUAAAAUGCUCUUUCAAUUCUACCGUUCUUUAACCAUUUUUAUUCAAAUCACUCUCUACUGUACUAUCAACUUCAACGUCCAACCUUCAAUUCUCUCUAUCCCAUACUUUAAUUACAUUACUAUUACAUUAGAAAAGAAAUCUACCAUCAUUUUACUGCUAACUUUCUAAAAAUGAAACUUUAGAAAUAAUGGUAGACUUCUUUUGAAUGUAACAGUAUUGUAAUUAAAGUGUGAGAUUAACUCUGUGAAUGUAGGGCACACACGGCCAACCUUGUUGGGAAAUCCCUAUUAGGGUGGAGACAUUCAAAAAUCCUCCUAAUGUAAAUAGAACACAUACCCCAAUAAAAAAAAGUACACAAGAUUUUUAAAAUAAAAAAAAUAGAAUCGACUUAGAGAUGCUCAUUUUCCGUUCGUGAUCAGAGGGAUACUACUAAUCAGUCGAUUGAAGUCGGUUUUUAGACUAAAUGAUCAUCAAGUUAAUGUUCUAACCAAUCCGACUAUAAGAGAGUGCAAAUCGACCAAGGUUUGUUUAAGUCGGUUUAAGCCUUUAAAAUUUUUUAAACAUGUUAUUGGUUUGGCCAAACCGACAUUGAUCGAACUUCACCUUAUUUUCAAUUGAGUACUACCUUCAGUUUGAUCGAACAACUUGGUUUUAUAGUCUCUAUCAUGCUUACCCAUGGCAUUAAACAUUACGUACCUCAAAAGAUUAUAGAAAACAUUGAUAAUUUCGAUCAUAACAACAAUAAUAUUUUGCUAUAUUUAUAAGUAUUCUAAUUUAUUUUCUUAUCGUUAAAAACAACCCAAUAUUUUUUUUAUUUUUCAUAGUUUACAACUUUUCUCUAUCAUGCUUUUGUUCUUCAUGCUCACAAAUCAAUAUGUAAUUGAAAUCAAGCCUUGAAAUUUAGAAGUAUUAUAUAUAUAUUUGAUAUAAAUUUAACCUUUUUUGUUUUAUUGUAAAGUCACACAAAAUUAAGUUGCAUAGUAUAUGUGGUUAGUGUGUGUAGGAUUCUAUAUGCAUAGAAAAGAUAAAAGGGAGUUAAUUAUUGAAGUUGAAGUGAUGGAUUCCUUUUGCAAGCUAAGGGUUCUUCGUAUUGGAUUUUUGACUAAACCUCCUCCAUCAAUUCAUGGGGGAGAGAGCUUUGAAUCAUAAACAGUGCCCUAUUUUUCUUGAUCAUAUAUGAUUCAAGCACUAUUGUUUGAUAUUGAUUUAGUUGUUGGGUACAAUAUGGGAGAAUUAAGCUAUAGUUUUGAUGUUCUCUCCUUUUGAAUAAAUGUUACAUCCCACCAACUUAGAAGGGAAUUUUGUAGGCCACUCAAGUGGUAGAAAGCUUCAAGCAAUUAAUCAACUUAUUAUAAUGUUACACACGUUAUAUAUUUCUUUUUCUCACUUUUUAACUCUUUAUGCUCUCAACAAGAAUAUAAAAACAAUAAAUACCAAGCUAGCUACAUUAUUUACAAAAGAAAGAAAAAACACUUAACCAAUUAAUUUAUUUAAAAAAUACCUCACUCUUUUAAAACUUGAUAUAAACACUUCCCCUUCGUUUCAUUUGCUCAAAACUGAUUCUAUAGGAGACCAUUGAGCUUAGGAUUUAAGACUCCCUACUUCGAUAACAUGUUAAAUAUUCAUCAAUCAUAAUACGUCGACACACUUUAAGAGUAAGAUAAUUAAAACAUGUGAGGCUAUUUUAGAAGAAGUAAAUAAUGCUCAUCUAUGUUAAGUUGGAAAGUUGUGUGUCCUGACAUAUUCUAACAAAUUUGUAUUCUGCAGGUAGCUAAAUUUGAAGGUUACUUAUGAAUUAUUAAAGUUAGGUUAAUAAUGGAAUUGAUGAAAAAGUAGGAAUAUAUUUGAAACAUAUAUAUAUAUAUACACAAAGAAGAGGAUUCAUUAUUGUUAAACUAAAAAGAAAUUAAAUAAAAGACUCCAAUAUGGGUGACCCUAAUGAUUUAUGGGCCGACCAAAGAAACCUACGAUGCGACGUUAUUUCAACACAAGAAUCAUUCAACUUUUCUUUCUAAAAUUUUGUAGAAUAAUAAUAAUUGAAAUCAUAUACAACCCCUUUUAUUUUUCUUCUUCUUCUUCUUUUCAAUACAUACAAAAAUUAUAUAUAAGAUGAUGAGAAACAAAUGAAGAGGGAAAAAAAUCUGUGGUUUUGAAAAUGAAUAAAAAAAAAACUCUUAUCUAUAGAAAAUAAAAUAGCUUAUUCUAGACAAAAUUGAAAACUAUGAAACAAAUAUGAAACUUGAUGCUUGUAUUAAUUAAUUACCAUGCAUAAAAGCAUCCAACCAAACCUUCCCUUUCCUUUGAGAUUUUUUUUUUCUUUUAAUAUAGUUAUGCAUUAUAAAACUUCCCACAAAAUCUAAAAGAUACUAAAAUUAUAUAAAAAUAUUACUUUUACAAUUCCAAUAGUUUUGAUCACAUCAUUCAAAAAUAUUUUGAAAAAACAUAAAUCAAAUUGCCUACCAAACUUAUAUAUAUUUCAUUAAACAACUUAAUUAGAGAUAAGAAAUUAUAAAAUAAAUUUUGAAGUGUCUAUCAAACAUACUCUUCAUUACUAUAAAUUACGUCAAAAACAUCGUUUUUGAAAAAACGUUAUUCAUUAUUUUAUUAUAUAAUUAUAUCAAAAGGUGAUGUUAGAAGAUAGAUCAAAUUUAUGUGUUCGGACACAAAUUCAUGCACAAUGUUAGCAAUUAAAAAAAAAUAAAAGAAACACGGAUUGUUUACUCUAAUUAAUUUAAAAAUAUAUAACCUACAUAUGAGUAGGGAUGUUCGUGGUCGAUUGGGUUGAAAGUGACCGAGGAAUCCUUUUCAAAUAUAAACCCUAGUCCAAUGCAACCAUAAUUUUGUUUGGGUCGGAUUGAUUUAGAUUACUUAGCACAUUUAUUUUAACUUUACUCUUGAAAUAAGUAAUUAAAAGGUUAAUAGGUAAAAAUAUUGUUUAUUAUAUUGAACUAAUAUUAAUAACUCAAAUUUAAUUUAUAUUAUGAAUUUUUUCUUUUUACCACGUGGUAAAAGUUAUAUUAGGAAAUUUGUUAAAGACACUAAAUUAAUUAUCCAAACUACUUAAGUCAAUCUUUCCUCUAUCAUUCCACAAUUAUUGUAUUGAAAUGUAAAUAAUUCAAAUAUAUAUAUAUAAAGUGAUUAGAAUGGUAUGAAAUACUUAUCCAUUAAAGAUGUUGGCUACGGUUGGCUCUCAUAUGGGCCUACUCCUACCCUAAUCAUAAAAAGAUUGUUAUUCAUUCGAUAACAGUAAUGUUCAUCUCAACCUGAUAUAUAUACAUUUAUCAUUAGUGGAUAUAUAUCAUAUAAUGGAAAAGUAUUGUUAUAUAUAUUCUCCACGUGUCCAUCUCAACAUGAUAGAUGAUACCUAAAUUCCUUAGAAAACAAUUUAUUUUAGCACUUCAAGUUGAACAUUCAAGUACUGAUCUCUCCCAUUAUUGAAAGCUUGCAUGCGAAUAAAAUUAUAUCUAUGUUGAAAGGCCAUGCAUCUUCUUUUCUCUUCACUCAUUUUAUUUCAACUAAUUUGGAUAAACUCUAUAUCCUCAAGUACAUUAAUUACAAACCAUUCCAUAAAAGAUGCAUUUCAUAUUCCUAUUCUAUAAUGAUGAUAACAAUAAGCCAAGCAAGUCAAAGAUUAAAUGUAUAUGUUUCAUUUUUUUACUACUAAACCCCCCCUGUGAUAGUUUUAGGAUAUAAUUAAGACAAUAUUUUUGGAUUUGUAUUAGUACUAUAAAUAAGAAAUGAAGGUGAAUGAGGAAGUAUAAAUGUGUUAGAUUCAUAAAACGGAAACAAUGAUAAGGUAUCUUAGUAUAUAUUAUGCAUUAAUUUGAUUGCAUCAACAUCAAUCCCAUCAAAGGAAAAUUGAAAUUUUAAAAUUGGAAAUGCACUAAAUGAUAAAAACUGACAAAGGGUAAGAACAAAUUACCUGGAAAACACUCAAAAAUUAAAUGCAUUUGUGAAUAUAUUAAUUAGUUUGGAAAUAUUUCCGCUAAAUGCAACCACUAAUCAUCAAUUAUGAUCAUCAAUGGAUUUGGAUUUGGUCUCGAUUUGUUUGCCAAAAGUGGAAUUAUUUGACAUUUCAUUUGGCAUUCUUUGUAAUUUGCUUGCAAUUGCUGUCUUUCUUCUGUUUUUGCUGUCUUAUUCCACCCUUUUAUUGCUCAUCUGUCAAACAAAUUUCACAAUAGAUUAAUAUUGCUUAAACAUAUUCUUUUGGUUCUAAACUUUCAUUAAUAAUAUAAUUUAGUAUUCUUAUACUGGUUUUCAUGAGAUUUGAUGUUACAAUUCAUAACUUUAACAAUAUAUAUAUAUUUUAUAUGUUAACAUUUGUAACAAUUCAGUAAAAAACUAAGACUCAAUCUUAUAAUUUAAAACUACAAUUAGUAUCUAUGCAUUACAAGUAUAUUAGAUAAUUUAAAACUACAAUUAGUAUCUAUGCAUUACAAGUAUAUUAGAGGUUUUAAAUUUUAAUGUUUAUAUUGUACUUUAGUAGCCCAAAUUUUAAAUUAUUACUUUUAUAAAAGUUAUCUUUUCCACCCAAAAUACAUAUCAUUUGUGUAUGAAGUACACAUUUUUAUUUUAAUUUAUAUAAAAAUGUGCCACAUCUUAUAGUAUCGUAUAAAAGAGAGAGAUAUGUUAUUUGGUGUAUGAAGUACACAUUAUUUAUUUUAAUCAAAUGUGUCCCAUCCUAUAUAUUAUCAUAUAAUACAAUAAAAGAGAACAAAAUCUGUAUUUAUUCCUCUUUUUCUUGGUGCCUUAUUUUGUUCCAAACGUUGGUUUUACUUUUAGAGGGAGGCUCCUACCACAGUGGCUAUUAUGAAUUAGAUUUCUACAUAUAUUUGAAAUUAGAUGGAAAGAAUAAGGACUUUGUGCAUCUAUACGUUUACAACUCACCCUCUAAAUGUAUCAUACAUAAAAACUUUAAAUUAAAUAAUAAUAUUAAAAGAUAUACGUAUAUAUGACGAAUUUGUGAUAAAUUUUGUGUAACAUAUUAUUUUAAUUUCCGUGAUUUUAGUAGUUUUUAAAAAGAUUACUUUGAAACAAAUUAAUGUUUCAAUUCUUUUCGUACUUGAAUUUACAUCAUUAUUAUAACAAUCAUAUAUCUAUAUAUAUAUAAAAAGACAAAUCAAAUUGAAUUAUUCUCGCAAAAACUUUCUGGUUAUAAAUAUAUUCUGGGCAUAUUCUAUUUUAUAAAGAUUAUUAUAAUUUCGAAGGAAAUAGGAUAAAAAAGAAUAAUGGAAAUUGGGUUGGACACGUUGAUAGUAAAAUGGCAUGGAAAAAUAAGAGUGAAAAAUGAAGGAAAUUGGUAUUUGUGAUGAUGAGAAUAUAGAGUUGUGCAUUUGGAUGUGGAAAUUGGAAUAAAUUGCUGUGCAAAUUAAAAGAUACCCAGAAAAGAAAAUUACAGAAAUUAAAAAAAGAAAAGAAAAGAAAAGGGAAGGAAAAUAUAGAAGAAUAUGAUGAAGAGAAAUCUAAGGGAAAAAGGCAUUAGACCACAUUGCAUUGUUAUGGUUAUAAGUUUGAUCCCCAAAAGGCAAAAGCAUAUCAUCCCCAACAAACCCCAUUUGAUCUUGAGGGCUCACAAGCUCCAUCAGCCAUGCCGCAGUUUGUGGCUGCGUCGGUGGAGCCUGAGCCUGAGCCUGAACUUGAGCUUGAGGUUGUGAAGAAGAUGGUUUAAUUUUAAGAGAGUCAAUGCGUAUAGUAAUAUCUUUAAGAUUUUGAUCAAUGAGCCAACCGAGGUCGUUCAAAUCAAGCAUGUUAAGACCAUGUAGUCCCUUUGCAGCGGUGAGGCUCUGAAACAUCAACCGUGUGAUCUCUUUCUCCCGGUUGUCCUUUCUCAUUUUCUUCAAUUGCUCGUUCGCCUUUGCAAUCCUUUGUCGCAAAAAUGUCUCCUGGUUCACCUGUUUAAAACAUUCAUACCUCUCUAUUAUUUUCUUUAAGAAGCUACACGUUUAAUUAUAUACAUAUAAUAUGGCAAUAUGAUCACCUUAUUAAUAUGUUUUUUUAUAAACGUUUCAAGAGCAUGCACUACUACUACACUUACCAUCUUCUUACUUUGCUCCAUCUCGGGCAUCUUCUUGAACUGGGAAAGAACGCGCUGGACGCCAAUAGGGGAAGGCCAAAGCUCGGGUUGGGAAUCAUAGGGACUAAAGAUGAUUGCACAUGCCUCAAUCCCACAAAGAGUGCUUAAUUCACUAACCUUUUUCAUAAGCCCUCUCUUCCUCUUCUUGUAUGUUGCCUUUCUUGCAGAGUCAUUUGCAAUGUAAGCAAGUUUCACUUUCUUCCUUGUCAUUAUUUUCCUUUUCUUUUAGGGUCCUUUUUCCAUUCUCAUUUUGUUGCUAAUUUAUAAUACAUUUGAAUAUUAAGAAUUUUCAUUGGGAGAGUAUGGUCCUCGUUGUUGGGUUUGGACCAAUUUAAUGUCUUUGUUGUCAACUUUAAUUUUGAUAGAUUUGAGAUAAUCAUAUGGAGAUUAUUAUUUUAUUUGGUUGGGUUAAGUGAGUAGUAAUCACAAUGAUAUGAUAUUGUGAUUAUAAUUAUUAUUUUAUUUUAUUCAUAAGAUCCAAUUUAACCUCUUACCUUUUUAGCAAUAUUAUUAUUUAUUACUAUCACUUCGUACGUUAGUUCCCUCAUGUUUCUUUUUCUUCAGUUUCUUUUGCUUAUAAUAUAUAUAAUCUACAACAUAUUUAACUACUCAUCCUCAUUUUAAAUACCAUACAUACAUAUACAUAUAACGUAUACACAUAUACAAAAAUGUUCCAACUACUAUAUUGCUCUGUAAUGGAUCGCAUGCCUUCAAAAGGCUCCAAUUAGCCCUCAAUCAAGUACAAAUACCUAAAAUGAAUACCAAAUAAUUAUUCAAUACCGUACUCCUAGCUACCCUCCUCUCUUCAUCAUCUAUAUUUUAGUAGAAAAUGUUUAAAUAUAUAGUUCAAUUUACGUUAUAUAUUAAUAAUCAAAAUACUUGUGGUUUAACUUCUUUCAAUCUUCCAUCAAAAUUGUUGCAAACAAUGCAUGCAAAUUUGAGAUAAAUGUUGUCUUUGUUGUCAUCCUUAAUUUUGAAAGAUUUGAAAUAAUCAUAUUGGUUGGGUUACACAAUGAAAUGAUAUGAUAUUGAUUGUUUUUAUUUUAUUUUAUUCAUAAGAUCCAAUUUAACUUCUUACCCUUUUUAGUAAUCUUAUUAUUUAAUACUAUCACUUUGCAUUUAACUACUCAUAUCCUCAUCAAGUAUUUAAAUACCAUACAUAAUGUGUAUAUAUACAAAAACGUUCUAACACUAUUGAUCUCUAAUGGAUCACAGGCCUUCCA
RNAcentral lists this long non-coding RNA (59817 nucleotides) under Cucumis sativus (cucumber). RNAcentral describes it as "long non-coding RNA (CSAT_LNC000387)". Lineage: Eukaryota; Viridiplantae; Streptophyta; Magnoliopsida; Cucurbitales; Cucurbitaceae. The record is from RNAcentral.